RNAcentral lists this long non-coding RNA (60696 nucleotides) under Citrus x clementina. RNAcentral's name for it is "Citrus clementina (C. clementina) long non-coding RNA (CCLE_LNC002273)". Lineage: Eukaryota; Viridiplantae; Streptophyta; Magnoliopsida; Sapindales; Rutaceae. The record is from RNAcentral.
GAAAAUGGGUGAGGAUCACAGUGCCAAAGCUUGCAGCCUAAGGUUAUCAACAUUGAUGAAGAGGCUGCUGGUAAUUCUUCCGGUGAAGAUAUUAACGCCACGAAAGCUUAAAUGUAAUUGAUUAAAGGAAGAAGUGCUUGCUUUGCUUGAUGUGCUAUUCGUUUAUGAUCUUUUCCUGGUUUUGUUGUGAGAUGUUUCUCUUUGGAUUUUCUGUUUAUUGUACUUUGAUGGGUUUUUGAGGAUGACUUGUAUGUAUUAACAACAAUAAAGUGCUUUUCAUAAAUCCCUAGUCCUACUGCACUAAAAGAAAUUAAUACACUUGGUUUAUUGUUAAUAAUAUAUAUAUAUAUAAGCGGACGCUGUAUAACAAUAUAAAUAAUUUUAAAAUAUUAAACAUUUAAAAUAGUCAGCAUAUUAACAAUUUACAAUUUAGAUUAUAUGUAGACGAAAUAAUGGUAACAACAAUAAAGUACGUGUUAUAAAUCCUGGUCCUACAGUAGUAAAAGAAUUAAUGAUGUGUUAAUAAGAAGAUUCAUUCCAAUUAUAACAGUUUUUGAUGAAUCGAAAUAUUCAAUAACUGAUAAAUUGUAUUUAUAAAUAUUAAUAGCAAUGGCACGGAAACUAUUAAGUUAAAUUAAACAAUUUUGUAAUACAGUCCAGUCCUCGUGUGUUAAUAUUGUUACUAAUGAGGCAGCUAGUAAUCCCUUUGGUGUAAAUAAUUAACUUUCAUAUGCACAAUGUUUAAAAUAAUCACCACACAACAAUUCACAAGUUACAUUACACAUAGACGAAAUAAUACUAAUCAAAUUCAAUCAUAAUAAUUUGAUUUUCAUUUAUAUUAAUUAUUUCCAAUCAUGCUAUUUUUAAAAAAGAACACUCCAGCGUUUAUAUAUCCAACAGGUAAAAUUUCAAAAUAAUAUUUGUCAAAGUCUGAUGAAGAGAAUAUACACUCGCACAUAUAUAAUUAUAACCGUACAGCAGAAGGAUAAAUAAAAGAAAAUGAAGUUUCAACAGCUAAAUAAUGCAUUUUAUUGUUUAAUUAAACCCAUUGGCCUUAUAUACAUGAUAAAGACUCACCAAAAACCAAUUUACGAUCCAUUUCAACGCCUAAUUUGAAAAAAGAAAAAUAAUAAUAAUAAUAAAAUAUUCCAAUCGUCCAUCCUUUCACAAAUCAAAAAUAUCACCAAAAACCAAUUUCCAAUCUAUUUCAAAACAAUUUUUGCCAAAGUCCUCCUCAGCUAAUUAAUUCAUACAUUAAUACAGUCCUCCUCUGCUGAAUAAUGCAAACCCGUUACGUUAUUCUACCAUUUCUUAAAUUUAAAGCAUUCCACCAUUUAAUAAAAAAAAUUCGAAAACCCAUUAUAUUCAAUACAAAAAGCCCACCGACACCAAACCAUAUUAAUUUAAAAUAGUUUUCAAUUGAGAUUUUAAUUUUAAAAUUACAUACACAAACACACCCGAUUUAAAAAAAUAAUAAUAAUAAUGCUAACAAUAAAAUAUUUCAGUCGUGCUCUGUUGAGUCGUCAUCAAAAACCCAUUUAAAAUUUAUUCGAACAAAAGGUAUAUGGGUUAACAAGUCCCAAUAUUGUCCUCCAUCCUUUCUGCACUUCUCUUCCAUCAACGGACAGCGAUAGAUGUCUAAUUGCAAAAGUGAGGAAGGCAGGCCCUUCUCCGGAAAGUAUUUGAGCUUGGGACAAUCAUAGAGAUACAAUGAAGUGAGGUUUUGAAGAUCAACAAUUGAAGAAGAUAGGCGUUCCAGAUUUGGAAAAUCUACAAUCCUCAGAGAUGUUAGAGAGGCAGGAAGAGGAAGCGCGGUCCCUAAUCUUUUGUCCUCUAGUGGAAAUGACACCAUGUCGUCAUCACAUCCUUGGAUUAUGAGUUCUCGCAGAGAGGAGAAUCUGUGAAAUCCCCGUCCCCGCUCAAUCAUUGACUUCCAAAUCUCCAUAUUACCCCAAAUACGAAGUGACUGAAGGUUGGUGGGAAGGCCAUCUUCUUCAAGGCUUGGAAACUCACCUCCUAUUAUUGCUAAGUGUUGAAGAGAGGUCAGAUUGUGCAAUCCCUUGGGUAAGGCCUCUAGUCUCUCACAAUGACAUAUCACCAGCGUCGUGAGUUUCGCACAAGGCAAUCCCCCUUCGGGAAAGGACACCAGAUUUGCACAACUCUGUAUAGUAAUCCCUCGAAGCUGCCGGAGAUUAUGUAAACCACUCGGUAAAAUUUUGAGAUUUUCACAAUUAUAAAUACUGAUUGUUUCAAGGGAUGUGUUGUUGUCCAACCUUUCUGCUAUUGACUCCAGCUUUGGACAAUCCCAAACAAAAAGGGACUUAAGAGACGGAGGUAGAUUGCCAACUUCAAGGGACUCAAGCGUGGCAGGUAACUCGUUUUUUGAAAAUAUACAUGUCAGUGAUGGACAAUUCUCAAUGUGUAAGUGCUCGAGAAGAGAUGAGGUGUACCUUCUGCCGCUGCUACACUGGAUGCCCUCUUCCACUGUCAAAGUCCUUAUAUUAUCGCAACGGUGGAUCUGCAACUUCUUAAGGCUCGAUGGUAGCUGGACCGCAGCAAUAUAUGUCAACGAACGGCAACCCUCAAUAUACAAGAUCUCGAGAGACGAAUUGGUGUCGCACAUCCAUUCCUCUGGUAACGAUUUCAGUGCAUCACAAGAACUAAUCCGAAUUUUCUUCAACUUGGAAGGCAGAGCAACCUCAGGAAAGGAAACAAGGGAACUGCACUUGCAGAUUUCUAUCUCUCUCAAGGAACAGAGGCUGAGCGAUGAUUGUGGUAGCUUCACAAGGCCUUCGCAAUUACUCAAUCUUAGAUAUUCAAGUCUGCAUGACAACUCGCAGAGCUGCUGUUGUUGGUCUUUCUCUUCCUCCUCCACCAAGGAUUGAAGUUUGGGACAGCUGUCAAUCGUCAGUCUUUUGAGAGAGCAAAUGUCUUGCAGCAAUUCGUUAUGACUCUUCCAUAUAUCUGUUUCAUUUUUAAUAUUAUUUAUCUCCAAUUCUUCCAGUUUUGGUAUUCGCGGCUUCAAUGGCCUUGCGAGAAACACUUGAUUUGAUGUAUCUCUACAAACCACUGAAUUCUGUGAGCCGAGAUGAUCAGUUGCACUUCUCCCCACAACCUUUUUACAUCCACUUACCAAUUUGCAAAGAGCUGGAAGACUCGUAAUUGAAAUUGACAAUUCUUCGCAUUCUCGAAUAACAAGCAUCUGCAAUGCAGGAAGGUGCUUUGGAAAUGCUCCUUGCAGUUUAGAACAUCUUAAAAUGUGAAGCUCUCUCAAUUUAGGAAACUCUUCAACUCCCUGACUGGAUCCAUGAGGAAUCCAGUCUUCCCAUUCUUGCAUGUUUUCAAAACAAAGAGUCUCCAAGCAUGGAAAUGGAAUUGGAGAGUCAUCCCCAUAGAACUCUGAACCCAAUCUCUUUACUCUACUCAUUCCACGCACUGUAAGAUGCUUUAGAGAGGGCAGUUGCCCGACUGACGGCAGGGCAGUACACAUGCCGCAAUCUUCAAAUUUAAGUGUUACUAAAUUUGAGAAUGAUGAAUCUCCUAACCAUGUUGGAAAUUUUGUACCUUCAUAGCCACAGACACCAAAUUGUUCCAGAUUUUUAUGGGGUUUGAGCAUGUCAAGCACACCCAUUUCAGUUUCUGCCUCCCUUGAAGAUGAACCAUCGGUACUGCGUGUCCAUCGAAGCAAUAAUUCUCUAAGAUUCUCCUUUACAUCCAACCGAGCCUCCUUUGCAUCACCAAUGUCUUUUACAUUCUCUAAUUUUGAAAUUUCAAGUGCCCCACGAAGAUGCAUCAACAACUUUAGCUCUGAUAACCCCGAACCACUGUCUUUUCCCACAACAAAAUUACACAACGUCUGAAGACAAGUCAACUUGCCAAUUCCUACUGGCAUUUCCUCCAACGAAUCUGUAUUUGAAUUAUUGAGAUGAUGCAAUUUGAUGAGGUUUCCCAUGGCUGCACACAACUUCUUCAGUAGCUGACAAUAUUCCAACAAAAGCGUGUGUAAAUUGUAAAGAUUGCUCACUGAUUCAGGCAGAGUUCUAAUCUCAGUUCCAGACAGGUUAAGGUACCUUAAAUACCUCAAAUCACCAAUUGAAUCCGGUAGCUCGGAGAUGUAAUAUCCACGCAAAGAGAAGACCCUUAAGCUUUGGAGUUUGAACAACUUAGGAAGAAUGCUAUAAGCCAAGAAUCCACGCGAACUAUUUGACAACAUUAGUGGUAAAAAAGUUCGCAAAUGUUGGAUAUCAUACAAUUUCUCAAACCUUUUAACGCCGUCAUAUUCUCCACAAAUAUAUGAUAGAUGACGAAGAUUUCUUGAAAAACUUUGCUGCUUGUUAACCUCUGAGAUAUACUCCAUUCUGAAGUACAUUUCCCCAGCAGCCCAUUGAGCAAGGUCGUUGACGAGGUCAUGCAUCACAAAUCGUGAUCUACUGCUGCUUGAUUGCUGGAAAAAAGAUCUUGCACGUAGCUCUUGAAAGAACUUUCGACCUAGAUCUUCACUAGGAUUCCCGCUCUCUCCGUGAUCCAAGAAACCCGAAGCACACCAUAAUAAAAUUAUCUCCUCCUCUUCAAAUUCGUAAUCCUUUGGUAACAAUGAGCAGUAUGCAAAGCAUUGUUUCAAAGUUGGAGGAAGAUAAUAAUAGCUCACUGCAAGGGCUGGUAUAAUGCGACAUCUCUCUUGUGGUAAUUCCCAUAUCUUGCUACUGAGCACAUCUUCCCACUCACGUCUGUCAUGUUUUCCACGUAAAAGUCCUCCUAGUGUUUUUGCUGCCAAGGGCAAGCCAUUGCAUUUGAUCACUAUCUUCUUGCCAAUGUCCUCCAAUGACUUAUGAGAACUGAAAUCUCUCGUUCCCAAAGAGUGCUGAGCAAACACAGACAGACAAUCCUCAGUUGACAAGUUUUUCAAUUCAUAAGCUUGAUCCGGGCUCAUGAUUUUUGCAACCUCUUGAUUGCGAGUAGUGACAACAAUCUUACUUCCCUGUGCGCCAGCUUCAAAUGGAAGGCUGAGGUCUACCCAAUCAUUGUAAUCCUCAUUCCACACGUCGUCCAAAACUAGCAAAAACUUCUUUCCAAACAGGUGUUUCUUCAAUUUCUCUUGAAGCAAAUUUAAGUCCUGAUUAUCCACAUUCUGGUCAGCAGCAAUGGAAAUUAGGAUUGAUUUUGUAAGCCUGAAAACAUCAAAAUCAUCAGAGACGCAAGUCCAUGCCUUGAGAUCAAAAUGAUCCUCCACCUGCUUAUCAUUAUAGACAAGCUGAGCAAGAGUGGUUUUACCCAGCCCGCCCAUACCUAUAAUAGGAAUAACAGAGAAUCCACCAUCAUUUCUUGAAUCAUCCUUCAACAACAAUUCAACAAUUUCCUUCUUUUCUGUUUCCCUGCCAGAGACCUUGGCUUCAUUCACCAAAGAGGUUGUGGGUAGUCUUUGCCUGUCUUUUUUGGACCUCCCAGCUGAACUUACGUUCAAACCCAGCGAGUCUUUCUGUGUUACAAUAUCUUGAAAUCUGUCGUUGAUCUCAUUGAUUUUGGACAUUAUGGCGUAAUCGAACUGAAUCGAUUGUGGAGUAAAAGUGGUGCAGCAAGUAGGAAUGAGCUUCCGAAACUUACUUGUUCUUGUACGACUGCUACUGGGUUGAUCCUGAGCAGCAGCUGGAUCUCCAUUUCCAAGCAGCAACUUCCUCCGGAAAGCCUCAGUUUGAAACUCAUCCAACAAGUCUUCAACAUCAUAAGCCAAGUUCUGAAGCUUGCCAAGCCACUUCUUCACAAACUGAUUAGUCGUCUUCUUCUCCUCAGCAUCCUCAAGCACCGCCUUGAUCAUCUCCAGCAUAUUCGCCCACUUCAUCAGAUCGGCCUUGAUUUGCUCUUGGCGUGCAAAAAACAGAAUCCCCUCUGAAGCUAACUUAUUGACCAGCAAAUCAACGGACGCCGUAAGGAUUGCCUCUCCGAUGAUUGACAUUUUUUUUUUCUUUCUUCUCUCUUUUUUUUUUUUUUUGGGGGGGGGCAAAGAAAGAAGCAGAAUUUUGAGUUUUGAGAAGCAAAAUGAGAAAAUUGAACAGAAAGUGUGAAGGGUCAAGCAAAAUGCAGGUAACAAGUCUUCCACUUGUUGUUUAUUCCAGGAAAGGGAACAUAAAAACAGAGCCCACCACCCAUUAAUAAUUUAGCAAUUUACCAAUCACCAACCACCACCACUUGUUACCAGAUUCAAUAAAUAUAAAAUCGCACGUUGAUAUUUGUAGGGCCAAGCAACAUUAAUCCAAUGUCCGGGUAAAUGCUGAAUAAAGAGGGAGGUGGAAUGUAUCUGCUACGAACCUACGCUUUACAAGUCUUCAAAAUCAUAAUAAACCAAGUUAAAUCAAAACAUUUCUCUCUCUGUGUCUCUCUUAUAUAAUUACUUUAUUUAUUGAAUUAAUUUUCAUGCUAAGACGAAGACUUAAAUGUACAAUACAAUGUUUUAUAAUUACAAUGGUAAUUUCAACUAUCAUGUUAUAUUAAUAUCGUGUUAAAAUAAAUUAUAAUAAAAUAAAACAAAAAUUCUAAUGUGAAAACAAAAACUGUCCCACCACCAAUAAUUUAGCAAAGCUUCACUUUAUUACACUAAAGUGAAAACAAAAUCGGCCCCCACCACCAUCAAUAAAUUAGUACAUCCAUCUAAAUGGAAGUAGAAAUUGGAACUCACUUUAUGGCUCGUAUGCAAUACAGGUAUCAACAUUUAAUUAGAGUUCACACACAAACGUGUGUGUGUCUAGUUUUAAUUGAGAGAUAAAUUAAACAUAAAUACUUAGAUGUUUCUAAAUGAUUGACUAAUGAUAUUAUUGGUAUUUAUAAAUUUCUAAGAUGUGAUAAUUAUGUGGGGGACAUAUAUUUAUGGUUAUAGAAAAUGGCGGUAAAAGUGGUACAAAUAUAAUAUAAUAAAAAAAUAUAAACUGCAGUAAAUUAAUAUUUACUUCAAAGUACGUUAUAAAUAUCGCUUUCCUUAAUACGUUAUUUGCUCCCACCGAUUGAGUUAUGCAUAUGGAUUAAGCAAAUAUGCAUUUAGGAUACAAUAAAGCAUUGAUUUGUUUGUUUAUGUUAUAUAUCAAUGAAAGCAAACAUGAAUAUUCUUGAAUGUUAUAAGCCUAACGAGAAUUAAUAUAUUAUUCUUACAAAAAAAAUAAUAUGUUGGAUACUUGAUGCACAAAAAAUAAAUGUUAAUUGAUGAAAUUCUUUUGAAGAAAGAGGACUAGAAAAAAAAAAUGGUGUAGGAUCAUUUUAUUCAUGUCUAAUUGACAUUUAUUUUUUUAUGAAUGUGAAGGCAUUUUGGUAAUUUUAUGGUCACAAGAGUUGUAUGUUGUGGAUAGUUAUUCGUUUUGAACUACAUUGUGUGCAGUUAGUCGUAUUUCACAUUUAUAAAAAGUAACUAUGUCGUUUCCUUGGUUUGGAGAAAACCAAGCUGUGAAUAUGAACGAUAGUCAAGUUUAAGCAUUGUCAGUAUGAGUGAAAUAUGCAAACUCAUUUUCAUAUUUUAUUAUGAUUUUAGAGUGUAGUAAACCAUAUUUGUAAAAUAAGAUUUUAAUGCUCUAAUUUAAUGAUUUCUAGAAUAAAUUUGAUUUACGUAUUGGCACAUUAUUAAAAUUUUAUGAAUAUUGGUUUUCCCUAUCGAUUUUGAGUAAAGUAUAAUAGUAUUUUGAAGAAAAUAAAAGUAAAUUUAAAGUAUGUUAAUGGAAUGAAAAGAAGACUUAAUGUACGAUUAAAAAUGUGUUAUUUAUGUGUAUAAAAAUUUGUUAUUAAAAAUUAUGAGACAAAUCCCUCUCCCUCUGGUUAGAUACAGCUCAGAUGAGAGCCUUUUGGGGCCCCUCUGAAUACAUAGAGAGGUUAAUAGGCUGUGUUUUUUAGCGCUUUUGCCUUUUGGAGGCCCAUGCAUGUUACAUAUAAGAUAGAGGCCUUUGGGUCUAUCUGAGUGCACAUAGAAGCUUUGGAUCGUGUGCUUGGGUGCUUUUGUCCUUUAAGGACUAUUUUAUGUAUGCAGUAUGAUGAGAUAUGAUGAUAUAUAUGAGAUAGCACUUCAUUGAUCUAUCCUUUGUAGCUCCAGGCAUGACAGUGCUCGGAUAAUAUGUCAUUACACUACCCAUAUGAGGUCUAGGUACGACAAGAUCAUUUACUUGUUUAGUGACAGUUUAAGAAUCAAGUAUUCUAUGUUAUCUUUUGAUACGAUUUUCAUGUGUAUUUCGUACAAUAUAAUGUAUUCUUCAAUGACAAUUGUUCAAUUUAAAGUUUGAAUAAUUUAACAAUGUUCUUACUUAUAGAUUAGUAAAAUUGGUAUGUCGAAAAGAUAUGAUCAUCUUUAAAGGAAGUUACUUUCAAAAGAUGUUAUCCACUCACUGAGCUUACUAAUUUUUAUAUUCACCUUAUUUUAUUAUAUUUUUCCCUUGUAAAAGGAUGCAGAUACACCAAUUGAACGACCAACUGUAGUUAUUUUGAAUUUUUGGUCACGUGAUGGCGCUAGGAGAAAUAGAUGGUAUUAUGUAUUUUGAUCAUCUCAUUUUGAAAUGUAUAAUUGUAUUAUGAUUCGAUGAUUAUGGAUGUUUAAUGUAUAUUGAAAUCAGUUAUAUUAUAAUCUUUUCAUAUUGGAGAUGUUUGGGUGUUAUUUGGUAUUUAGUUGAGAAGGUUGAUUGAUGGAACUGAUUAUAUAUUAAAGUAUAUUAGGAGUGCUUGUAUAAAUUUUCAAUUUUGGGAUUGUUAUAUUUAUAAGGGAAAUAAUUGUCGAAUUUUCGGUAGAAUCGUUACUAAUUAAAUUAUUAUCAGUCAAGUUAGACGAUAUCAGAUAGACCUGCAUGGAGUUCAAGGCGAGUCGUUUCAAAUCAAGUCCUUUAUAAACCUCACUCACCCCUUGUUAGCUCUCCCUCGUUACAAGCAUCUAUCUAUCAAUAUAUCAAUCAAUGCUUACAUUUUCUUUCCUCUUAUACACCAAAAUGAAGUUCAUCUUGGCAAUAUUGCUGUGGCAUUAUUAUUGUCAAUAGUAUAGAACGUUUACAAUUAUCAUCUUCCGGUUGACCAAACCUCUAGCGACGUUCCAUUCGGAGCCAACUGUGUGGCCUCAGUCAGCCCGAAACUCUCUUUAAAACCCGAUGCUGAAAUUAAACCAAAAUGAAAUCCUCGGCGCAGCAAUAACUGUACUGAAGGAACGGGAUAUUCAAAUCUACGCGCAAAAGCAAGUGAUUAAUAAUUAAAAAAUAAAAAACAGCCUGCCGUUUUGAAAGUGUUAACUUUAUUGGAAAUGCAAGGAAUCAUUUAUUGGAAUGAACACCCGUUUGGACGGUAGUGAUUAGAGUCUGUGCUGUCACAUGCUUGUGUUUGCCUUUUAAAAUACGACAAAGAAUAAAAAAAAUGGAACGAAGAAAAGAAUCCGUUGCACUAUCGAAGCAGGAGAUUUGCCCAUGCGUCCUCAUCAGCAUCAAUGAACUUUUCGAUGUGUGAGGUGUGAACGCGUAGAUUUAUGACGAGGGUUGGUUGCCUGCACACGAAUCUAUCUUGUGGUCGCAAUCACGUGGAAGGUCCGAAAGGAAAAGCGAGGGCUUCGGCCUUCGGUCUAAUCGAAUGCGCUCGGCUUGAAAUUUUGGGAAGAAAAGGCCGAUUGUUGAAGAGCUCAACAACUAAAAAGCCGAGUAUAUGAACAGAGCGUGCUCAUGACUUCCAUUGGUGAAUACAUUAAAGUUGUAGAAGCUUGCGACAAAGCAAUUGGGCCAGCUAAGGCUGGCGAUUUUGCCGUCGCGAAAACGGCAGCUGAUGAAGCCGACCUGAGCGUUUCUCGCGCUAACGCAUACAAAAUCGAACCCGAACCUGAAACAUGUGACUUUGAACUUGAAAAUUGCUUCUAAAAAUGCAGUGACCAUAGCCAUCAAGGCUCUUAGUAAUCCUAGUGCUCAAAGCGAAAAUUGAAACAAGGAGAGCACAAUUAUUUAAUUUAAUUAAUGAUGAUUUCAUAUUUCUUUCAUCAUCGAUUUGUCUUUUUUAUCUUUUCUUUUUUUGAAUUUCUUCAUUUAGAUAUGCAAACCAAUGAUAUUCUUUUUGAUGAUAUUGUUGGAGUGAAUAAUAGUGAUAAUGUGUGCUCUUUGAAGCAGCUUUCUGCUUAUGUUGUAAUGAAUAAUUUUUUAAUUGGUUGGUUGAAUUAUUCGGUGCUUUUAUUUAUUUAAUUACGUGAUGAUCGUGCAUGACUAAUUUAAGUGGAUUCACAGAACUAAAAAAAUCAAAUAAUGAUGGAAAUCAAAACGAUUAAUUGAUUGUCUUCAUGUGUGUUAAUCAAUUAAUGCAAAGAUUAAUUGCCAAUUAAUCAAUACAUAAAUAUUUGUUGACUUAAUUUUUGUCAAUCAAUCAAAUUUUCUAAUCACAAUUGUAUCAUUUCUGUUUACUAUUUUAUCAUUCUGCAACAACUUUCUCUCACAAGGUAAUAGAUUGUAGUAUUUCAUACCAAAUUAAAACUUGUCCAUGUUACCGAUAAAAAUCAUGGUAGCAUUAUUAAAGAGCUUUUUCUUUUCUUUUUCUCCCCCUUUUUCUAUUUUGUCCUUUGUUUGAUUGGGCGUAAUGAAACAGAUAUAUCAAGGGACCAAGCAUGACCUAUAUAUAUAUAUGUGUAUCUUCAUCAACAAACAAAGAAAUAAGGGAUUGAAUUUGAUGUGUCAUAGCACAAUAAGUGAAAUUUGGACAGCCAAGACAAAUAUAGAACCAUCUAAUCCACGAAAGGAUAGACAUGGGACUUGACAUGAAAAUAAAUACAAAAACAAACACAAACAUUUACUCCUCCAAUGAUUGUUUCAAUAUCUUUACCCUUGAUAUUUGCUACAUUUUAUAAAAUAUAAAUCUGCUGGUAAAUUUUUUGUACCUUAAACAGUUUUCUGACUUAUGAGAAAAAAAACUAUUUUAAAAAAAAUAUUGCAGAGAAAAAUAAAAAAGAAAAAACUGCUAAAGAGACAAAAUAAUGGUAGAAUGCUGACAAAAAUAAUGUUAAAAUCAACUAGAUCACAUAAAAUUUGAUUACCUUCACUACUAUAAGAUUUAUUUGAUUAAUACAAAUUAAUUCAAAUCUGAUAUGUUAAGUAGAGAAUAACAAUGUUUUAGAUCAUUGUUUAUUUACAGUACAUGGAUAAACUGGGUAAUUAGUUAAAGAGCCGUAGACUAAAAAUGGAUUUAUGCAUUUAUCUUAUCUCCACAUUAUAUGUUGAUGCUUUCAUUUGUACUCGUUCUUUAGUUUCUUCUCAAUGCAAAUGCCAGGAUAGGUGGAACAACAUUUCCAAUGUGCUAUGCUUGUGUUGGAUGUUAUCAACAAUCUUGUAGCCAUCCGAAAAACCCUACGUGACAGGAAGUAAGAUUAAUUCAAAAGUAUAAUCACAAGUGAUGCAAAUAGUAACGAAAUCUAAACAGUUAAGAAGUUUUACAGUCAAACUUCUAAGAAUGGAGAUUUGUUCAUUGGUUUUAAAAUUUAUUUUGCAUAUUCUAAUUUUUCAUUUAAAUAAUUGCAUGAAUUUGGAUCCAGUGUUGAUCACAAUCUUGUAAGAAGAUACCCACAAAUCUUAGCUCAGCACUAAAUCCAAAUCUCAAUUGCAAAUAUCAAAAUAGCAAUAAGACGUACUCGAGAUCAAUCGCACAUUCACGAGCUUUCACCGAUUGUAUCUCUAACUGUUAUUGCACGGAAAGGAGCGCCAUUUGGUAACUUGGCCUUAAGCUCAGGACCGGCAAAGACGUGCAUUGGUUCUGGCCAUUCCGGCAUUGUUUCCUCAGGUGAAGCUGCCCAUACGAAUGCUUGUUUACGACAUGGAAACAGAUCGUAUGCUGCUGCUUCCAAUGCAUCGGGCAUCUUGAUAGGCACCCCUCUGUUAAGAAAUUGAUUCAGGCUUUUUGUACCACCCCACAACUUACUAUUUAUUCAAACAUAUUUACUUUAAAAGUCAGGGCAUCUUGAUAGGCACACCUCUGUUAAGUUAAAUGAAUAUCGGUGGGUGAGGUUUAUAAUAAUAGACAGCAACAACAUACCACAACUUCUUUAUGGACAUGCAAUCCAUCGGUCGUAGCAGAACUAGCUGACAGCGCCUGCGGGGCACGUGCAAUUAUAUUUUGAUCAGUGUUCACGAAGCUAAAGCAGUGUAAAUAACAGAUUAUGGCUUAAUUAAGUAAUUACCUGAAGGUGAUUAAAUAAUUGAGAAUGAAAUUAUAUUAUUAAGCAAAGACAUAAUUACCCCAUUUAUCUGUUUGAAAUCCCGUCUUGAGAGCAAAUGGCGGCACUGACGAGGCUUGCUCAAUUUCGGCCUGCAUGGCUGCAUGUCUGAUAAAGGUGGAAACAUAGUGCCUUUAGCUUAAUCGUAGAAUGUUAAAUCUGAUGCCGCUGAAUAUGGAGGGUGAUUCAUAUACAAGCUCUUUAUGAAUAUAUAGUUGUUAAUUAUAGGAGAAGUUGCAAUAUGAAGUUAAUUUGAAAUUUAUAUUUCUCACCUCGAAUAAUUUCUGGUAAAUUGCUGAUUCGAUAAAGUCAAACUUUCUUUAUGAUCAUCAUCUUCUUCUUGGUCUUCGCCUUCCGAUGUUCCCAUUUCUGAUGUUUCUCCACAUUUUCUUCCUCUUUUAACAACUUUCGUUGAAGAUUUUGUCAGAAAUAUCAUUGUGAGAAGAGUAUUUCUAAAGUUUACAACUUGGAAAUGAGACCUUAUGUGAUAUGUACAUGAAGGACAGAGUACAUGUCAGUAUUUAUAAGAAACAAUGUGAUGGUUUUAAAGAGACUAGUGGUGGUUUCAAAGAAACUAAAUAAAGUUUAUUAUUUAAUAAAAAGUCAAAUACAAAUCCUAAAGAAUCCGCUGUAUAAUCUGACAAGAUUUGGAAAACGGAGGCACAUGCAUGGCAAUAUCAUUACUUUGUAAGACUGGAUUAUUUUUAUAAAUUUUUAUCCAAAGAAACUAAAUAAAGUUUAUUAUUUAAUAAAAAGUCAAAUACAAAUCCCGAAGAAUCCGUUGUAUAAUGUGACAGGAUCUAGAAAACCGAAGCACAUGCAUAGCAAUAUCAUUACUUUGUACGAUUGGAUUUUUUUUAAUAAAUUUUUAUCCAAAGAAACUAAAUAAAGUUUAUUAUUUAAUAAAAAUUCAAAUACAAAUCCCGAAGAAUCCACCGUAUAAUCUGAUAGAAUCUGAAAAACGGAGGCACAUGUAUGGCAAUAUCAUUACUUUGUACGACUGGAUUAUUUUUACAACUUUUUAUCCAAAGAAACUAAAUAAAGUUUAUUAUUUAAUAAAAAGUCAAAUACAAAUCUCGAAGAAUCUGCUGUAUAAUCUAACAAAAUCUGAAAAACAGAGGCACAUGUAUGGCAAUAUCAUUAUUUUGUAUGACUGGAUAAUUUUUACAAAGUUUUAUCUAAUCCCUUGUUUGAUGCCAGUAAAUCAAUAUUUAAAUAUAUAGUUAUUUUGUUAUGUUAUUUGAUUUUAACUAUUAAUGUCAAUAUUGGAAUAUAUCUUUAUAUUGAACUAAUAAAACAACUGUAUAAAGACAUUUGAAUAAACUUAAUUACGAAUUUUGAAUUCAUGAUGUAAGAUAGCAUUUGCUUUUUAAUCUGAAAUCUGAGUGGGGUUUGAAUUUGGCUGAAAUAUGAAUAUCUUUAAAUUGCAUAUGUUUAAAUGACAUGUUUAUUUUCUCUUUUUCGAUAUCCAAAUAUAAGGGGCAUCUUUUUUUUAUAUAUAUAAAUCAAAAACAUCCAAAGUAUGAUUAUUUAACAUUUAUGUUUUUGUAAGAAUUAUUUGUACUUAUUAUAAAUUUUAAGAGUUAAAUACAUGCACAUUACAAUUAAAAUCAAACAUACGUAGAGUUGAGUAAUUGAUCUUUAAAUAAAAAUAUUAUUACAUUACUCCAAAUAUAAAAUUGAUUCAAAUUUAUUAUACUAAUUAAAAUGUGAAUAAAUUUAAAUUUAAUUUUAUAAUUUACAUCAUCUUUUUUACCAUUUUAAAUUGUAAAGCCCAUUCGCCCAAACCUAGUCUUAGUUAGUUGUACAUAAGUGUAAAGGCCCAUAUGUUCUUAAGAAGUGUUAAGUUUUCAUAGACCCAUAAGUGAAUGGAGAAAUGUAAUGCCCCAAAUUCAAGCCAGAGUUAUAACUGUUGGCAGAUUUGUAUAAUCUUUUUAAAACAAUUCUCUAAUUAUGUUAAAAGACAAAAUAAAUCUAAUUAAAUUCUUAUAUUUCUCUCUCUUUCUCUAUAAGUUUCUUUUUCUAGUUCAUUACUCCCACACAACUACACCAAAGUCUUUUAUAUAUAUAUAUAUAUUUUAUUUUCUCUCAAACACUUUGUAUAUUACAUAAUAACUAUUUAAGUCCAUUUUUAGUUCUACUCAAUUCAAGUAUAUAGAAUUUUCUUUUUAAUUAAAUAUAUAUGAUUUAAACUUUCAAAAUUUUGUAAAAACAAUAUCCCUAAUAUGAGGUUUGUGGAAGAAGUUAAAUUUUUUUUAAUAAAAAAGAAACUAAAAUUUUAAAAAAGAGUUUUUGAAAACUUAAAAUAGGUUUUGAAGGGGGGGGGCUUGAGAAAAAAAAUUAUGAGGUGCUAUUAGUUCCACUCUUCAAGCAAAGAUACACAGACCUUUACUCUUCCAAAUAAAUUUUGCGGUGAAUUUUAUUGUUGGCUAAUCACGCUGAUAUGAGUGUGAAUAUGAAAAGGAUAAAACUUAUAAUAAAGAAUUAUAUGAACUUAUAAUAAAGCAUUAUAUGAACUAUAUUUUAAAGAGAAAAUAUAUUUUUAAAACUAUGAAAAUUUUCUUGCAAAUAUGAGCUAGGGAGAUAAAUUGAAGAGGUUACAUGUCAUCAAUCUAGUUACUUCAGAAAAUGUAGCCCAAUGUCUUCAGAUGGGUUAGUGUUGGUGUGUUACUAAGAAAUAGGCCGAAGUUGUAAAAAUAAAAAAUAAAAACAGUAGGUUUUCAUAUUAACAAAGAACAGUUAUUUCACAGAACACAUGAAUAUCUCUAUGAUGUUGAUGCUUUCAUUUCUACAGCUUCUAUUGGAAUUGGUUCAGCCAUGAUCAUUGGCAAUCAGCCAAGAUUAUUGGCAAUAUUGUAGGCUAUGUCUUUACCCGUUAGAAGCAUAACUUGUGCAGUUAAUUUUGGCACAUCACAUGUUUGACGAAAUUGCCAUAACAAAUGCAUAACUCAUGUACUCUUUCUUUUUUUAUCAUUAAUUCUGUACUAUAAAUAUGUACCUGUAAAUAGUGAAAUACACACAAAAAUCAUUUCUUUUAUCAAUUGUUCUUCUUCUAAUAUAUUUUACAGCUUCUUUUAGUUUUCUCCCCAGUGCAAACUCCAGAGGAGGUGGAACAGCAUUUCCAAUCUGCCGAUGCUUGUGUUGGAUGUCACCAACAAAUUUAUAGCUAUCGGAGAAACCCUGCUGGAAUCAAGAGAGCAGGGUAACAUGACAGCAGAAACAGUUGGCAAAAUUUAUCUUGUUUGAUUCAGUAAUUAGCUUGUCAAGUUAAAAGUGUCACCGGUGCUGCAUGAAAAUUAUUUUUGGUCAUUCUGGUUUUUCAGCAUUCCUACUAACUGCAGGAUAUUUACAUAUAUAGCCAAAAAGACUUGUGAUCGAGCACACUCACGAACUGUGAUUAUUCUAUCCUGAUCUGGGUGAAAGCACGUUCCGACCAUACCCAUCGGAUGAGGAUCAGUAACGGAGGUUGGAAAGUUUCCUUUCCAGUCCAACCUUCCGAACAGACCCUUCCAUUGAUUAUGCUUUUCAGCUGUAUUGGGUAAGCACCAGGGUAUUAAAUCUACAAACUGUCCGUUAGACAAUCGAACCUGGAGGGGGAAUUUGAAAAGGAAAAUGUUUAAAACCAAAGCAAUUAUGAAAUGAUAAUUUCAGUUGGAUCUAAAAGAAAAACUAUACACCUUCUCACUAGGAAGAACACGCCAAUCGGAACCAGGCUGUUUUGGGAUCUUUUGACACCUAAUAAGGUUCAGCUCACUCAUUGCCUUUGAUAUAUGAUCGUUUAAGACCAGCAUAUCUCCUCUGAUUUUCUUUUGAAACCCUGACACUAGUUCACUUUUAUACUGCACGGUAGGAAAAUACAAGAAACAAGACCUUUGGUAGAAGGAACAACAAUAAAGAUAAAAUGAGCAUCACAGACAGGUGAAGAAAAUCCCACUUCCAUGGUUGUUACAGAAGCCCCAUUGCCAACAGUUGGGAGGUCUCCAAUUGUAUCUCUAACUGUUAUUGCACGAAAAGGAGCACCAUUUGCGGUGCUUCGAACAGCAGCAUAAUGGGAAUUUCUAGCUAACUUGACCUUUAGCUCAGGGCCAGUGAACACAUGCAUUGGCUCAGGCCAUUCUGGAAGGGUUUCCUCAGGUGAUGCUUCCCAUAUGAAUGCACGUUUACGAGACUGAGACAUGCCAUAUGCUCCUGCUUGCAGGACACCAAAUCUCACCUACAACAACAAAUUAGAUGAAUAAUUUGUAUAAGCUACAUGAUACUUUCACAAUUUUCAGAUUAAAUUGACAAAUGAAAUGGAGAAACAAAUUCAGGGAAUUUUGAUAGGUACCCCUCUAUAAAGUUAUGAGUGAGUAAAUCAAAAAUGGUAUCUACAAAAUAUAUUAAGAUCUCAUUUUUUAUAUAUUUUUUAUACAAAUUUUUUUUUUCUCAAAGCAGUGCAUGGCAGUCUUUCUUGAAUCUGACUUUUCAAACACAAACUCUACAAAAUAUAUUGAAGGCAAAUGAUCUGAAUCUGCAGUUUCAACCACCAACAUUAACCACAUUGCCACAAACAAUGGCACGUUUGUAAAGAGACUCACUGAAACAUGUUUUUCUUAUUAACUCCCCAUCCCAUUUGGUAGCCUUCGAAGAGCAAGGUGGCUUAACACUUAUCGCAGAUAAACAAAAUUUCUCCAUAUUCUUAUCAGCUUGCAUCUGUUCCACUCUAAUGUCUUCAGGAUCUUCCUCACUAUUUUCUCCAUGUUCUUCAUCGAGUUCUUCAUCCGCUUUCGCUUCACGGAUAUAUGCCUCCUUUGAAUCUUCAGGCAAAUAAUUUGAGUAAAACUCUUCCCAAAUCCUCUUUAUGAAUCUCGUGGUUGUUGCUUGCAUUACCUUGUUUUUUGAUGCUCUCAGAUUUGAAUUUAUUUCCUUCUUCAGCACCACCUUUUUUUUCACCAAAGACCUGGUGUGGCGUCUUUCCUCCAUUUUUUCAAAAAGACCAGACACAAAUGCACACUUGCUGAUCCUUUUAUUAGGAAGCUCUGCAAAUUGUUGGAGUAUGAUAUGUCCAUGAACCACCACAUACCUUUCAAAUUCUGUGGGAUUGGAAGAAUAUAAGCAGGAUUAAUCUUACUGAACUUGGACACUUUUUUGAUUACAUCUGCAAACGAGAGUCGAGAUGCUCGACUCUGAUUGUUCAACAUUGUAAUGAUGGCAAUAGCAAGCCUCGCAGUUUUUGGAACUGGUUUGUACCACGCUGCAUACUGCUUACAAGAAGACUAACGGCAAAUCGCGGAACAAGUCCCUCAAGGAGCAAGGACGAGAUCGCGACGAGGACGCCGCGAGCUUAGGUGGGGGAGGAUGUUACGGUCCGCCCAAAUCGCUAGCCCAAUUACCCAUAAUUUCAGGCUAGAGAGCCAACACAAAGCCAAGAGUGCUAGCUUGGCCCAAUUCCAGAAACUUCUAGGCAAUUCUUGCACAAAUGAGCUUGUAAAUAUUCUAGAAUACUCCAUACUUUUCCAGCACAUGUAAAUAUCUAGAAUUCUAGGCACAUUGUAGAAUUCUCUAGAAUCUCUAGAGCUUGGCAAGCCUCCCCUAUAAAUAUGGGAUGGCAUUAGGCAUUUGCAUCCAACAAACACUACAACAAGCAACUCAAGCAUUGUAAUCUCUUUUGUGCAAUACAAGUUUCUUCUUUGGCUUAAUUGCUCUCUUCUCUAGUCCGAGAAGUUCUAGGUUUACUUAGCAACAUUCGGCAAAGUUGUCUAAGUGCCGCACGGGUUAGCUGCGCAAAACACUCAUCCCGUGACAUUAAGCACUAGUACCACCACCAAACCUCUUGAUAGUAUACCCAUAUAGAUGCAUACCAGGAAAUAUCUGUCCGAACUGAUAUGGAAAGGAACGAGUAUCCAAAUUCGAUCAUCCAUUCCUGUAUUGCACUCAAAUAUAUUGGUAUUCCCCCAAUAUUCUCUGCCACAGAUGAAGACUGAUCAAAAUUAGCAUCAACACAUAAUCCACUUGAAUCACCAGUUGUCAUAAUCCCGGACCCAAAGAUGGUAAUAUCAUUAUCAUCACAUGGUUUCAUUGGGAGGAACUCCAAAGAAAUCAACCGCGAAUCUGAGUUGUAAAGUGACCAAUUGUGAAGCAUUCUUCGAGAAAGCUCAUCAGGAUUAAUUGCAUCAAAGAUUAAAUACUCAUCAUUUUGCUCCUCACUGGGCUUGUAAUAUGCAGGCAGAGGAUAGUCAUCAACAAUUUCAUCUUCAUUGAUUUUACUGCAGAACUUGCUUGAUGAAGCAACUCUCCUCUGAGUUUUAUUAUGUUUCGUUGAUUGCCAAUUCUCCUCUUCCUGCAACAGCCUUGCCAAUUUCAUAUCUUUAUCUUCUUCACCUCCAGAAGCAGAUGAACUAGACUGAUUGUUUUGCUCUUCUUCUUCACUGCUGGAUGCACUGGUUUCCAGGUAAUUAAACUCCCUUGCUUCCUAGUUUCAUCCAGCAGUGCAAGGAGCACAGGCAAGUUCUCAAAGAUCUGAUCAUUUUUUUUUGGAUGUCUCAUCUAAACCGAUGAGUUGAUUGUAUAUGAAUUCAACCUGUGAGAUUAUAAAUUCCCUCAUAGAUGUCCUGUGAGGAAAAUUCUUGCUAUCACUCAUGGAACGAACAACUCCUGCAAGCAAUUCAUCGACAGUCUGAUCAGGGUUCCCUCCACAAGAACUUGAAAGUUUUUUAUAGACCUCCACAGAGGCACGAGCCUUUUCAUAGAAAAGGUUAUAUAGUAUUUUAUAACUAUUAGCAGGUUUAACACAAUCAUAGUCUGCAGUGACAGUUGAAAUCCAAAAUACCGGUGAGCCUUCCUCAUAUCCAGAUAUUGCCCAAGAUUCAACUCGUCCGAAAUCUUCACAUCUAACAACAUUUUUCAAGAGGCAAUAUAAGACCUGAAACGAACAAGUUUCCAACUUCCAACAUUUCAACAGACUUUAGGUUUCCACAAGCAUCAUGAAAGGCAAUUCUGUUAGCCUUCGAUUUGGUCUAACGUCAUCCUUUCUAGCGGUCAAGCUUAUUGCAUCCUCUUCAUUUUCUGCAACAACUUCUUCCCUUGUGCUUUCCACAAAAGAUGCACUUCCAGAGAAGGAAAGAGAUUUAUCCAUGAUAUCCAUACAUGCAGCAGCUCUCUUUGGCAUUUUCCAAGAAUUGGAUGCUUUUUCACUAUUUUCAUGUCUACUUCUCUUUUCUUCUUUCAUAAAAAUACUCAUAAACUUUACUCAAAUUAUCAAAAAAAAAAAAGAAAAAAAUCAUAUAGUUAAUUUUUCUUCUUCUUUACUCCAUUAUUCAAUGGGAGUAUAAUAAAUUAGGAAAAAGGAGAAAUUAAGAAGAAAAUUAGGGUGAUUAUUGCAAUGAGAAGAACUCAGGCAAGUGCUUAUUUCAGAUACAUGCGUGGCAUUCAUUAAUUUGACCAAAAAUAAAUGAAUUUGUUUGUAUUUUAAUCAAAAUCGAGGGACAUCAACAAAAUUUUUCCACUCCAGGUAUUUAUCAUUUUCUCGUUAAGAAAAAAAAAUUGCAUAAAAUUAAGAAACCAGUAGUCACUAAACGAGAGAAACAGAGUAAGGAGAGUUCAAAUUUCAAAAGAUAGAACCCAAAGAAGAAACCCUAGCAACGAUCCCAGAAGAAGAAGAAGAUGAUGAUGAUGAUGAAGACACAGCCAUGCCCAACGUUAAGCACAACCCUAAAACAAAACAAAACAAAAGACAACUCUUCGGACUCGAGCGAUGCCUCUGACUCUGACUCGGAUUCUGUCUCAGAAGACGAAGCAAAACAGAACAUGGAGCUUCAAAACUAGAGUAUCAUCUAUCCAAUGAACCUCCAAAUUAUGACACCCAUGUUCAAGUAACUUCAAUACGCAUACUUAUUCUGUGAUUUUGUGGAUACCCAUUUGCUUGUUCUUUCUUAAUUGGGUUGCGAUAAAAAUGGCUUUUUUUUCUUCAGUACAUAAAAGUUUUGAGAAAAAUGGGUGAGAUAGAGAAGCUGAGACAAGCUAGGGAAGCGAUGAAAGAGAUUAUUUCCAUUGAUUCCUGCUAAGUGGCAAGAAUGGGCGAGAGAUGAAGCCUCUAUUUCAACUGGGUAUCUGUCAUUUCCUUUUUGCAGUGGUUUUCGAUUUUUUGAACAAAUAUUUUUUUUGCUUAGAGAUAUAGAUGUUUAUGUUCGUUAUUUGCUAAUGUAAAAAGGAACAAAACCUGCUUAAAAGGUAUGAAAAAGUGAACCAAUUUGAAGAAGGGAAUACUUAUAGUGGAGUUCUAUUCUUUGGGGUUUAAUUGAUGGGAGAAGAAACAGCUUAUAUGUUUACAGAAUUAGACAUUUGAUCGCUGAGUUAGUUGAGGAAGAUAUUUAAGGGAGAAUUGUGUGGGAUGUACCCCAUUCCCUUCAAAAUACCCAAUAUAUACCUAAAAUUAUAACACUCUUAAAUUUUACACAUAUAUACUCUAAAAAAUUAGAGAAAGUACAAAAAUAACCACAACUAAAUCCUCAUAAAACUAAACCCAACUCCUCGAAGUCGGGUAAAUGGUCUAGAAUACUCGACUUCAACCAAACCAUACACAAUUAAUAAUUCAGCAUAAAUUCUCGACUUUUUCAUGUUAGUCGGGUAAGUAGUCGAGAAUACUCGACUUCAAUUGAAAUAAAAAAUUAUCUGAAAAAUUCUUAAUUUUUUCAAGUAAGUCGAGUAAAGAGUCGAGAAUACCCGACUUUAAUUUAACCUUACCCAAUAUUCAUUCAGCAAAAAUUCCUGACUUUUCAUUGAAGUUUGGUAAUUGGUUGAGAAUACUCGACUUAAAUUGAAAUGAAAAUUUUCCUUUUAAUUAAGUCGGGUAAAAAGUCGAGUAUACUUGACUUUGGUUGUGUUAUUAUAUAGAAGUCAUGAGAGAAAGCAAACGUAAAUAGAUGAUUUUUUAAGGUUAUUUUUGACUUUUUACACUUUUUGGAGGUAUAUGUAUGUAAUAGGGUAUAGAUUUGGCAUUUAAGGACAAAUGGGGUAUAUUUAAAUAAAAAACCCGAUAUUUAAUCACAAUGUCUGAUGUUGUUUCUGUUGGCCUCAGCUAAUUGUUAAGAUUUCAUACUUUCAUUCAACAAUGCAAUAGACUUUGGUUGGGUCCACCUUAGUUGGGUGUUUUGAGGAACCAAGAGUGUCUUGAGAAAACUUGGGUGGAGUGCGGAUCAUUUUCAGGAUUCAGUUUCCAAGAAAGCAAAAACGAAGUUGAAAAAUCAAAUAAUGACAGAAACAAAAUAAUAAAUCAAAACGAUUAAUUGAUUGUUUUCAUGUGUGUUAAUCAAUUAAUACAAAGAUUAAUUAUCAAUUAAUCAAUGCAUAAAUAUUGUUGACUUAAUUUUUGUCAAUCAAUCAAAUUUUCUAAUCACAAUUGUAUCGUUUCUGCAACAUCUUUCUCUCACAAGGUAAUAGGUUGUAGUAUUUCAUACCAAAUUAAAACUUGCCCAUGUUACCGAUGAAAAUCAUGAUAACAUUAUUAGAGAGCUUUUUUUUUUCUUUUUUCCCUUACCCUUUUUUCUGUUUUGUCCUUUUGUUUGAUUGGGCGUAAUGAAACAGAUAUAACAAGGGACCAAGCAUGACCUAUAUAUAUAUUCAACAAGCAAGGAAACAAGGGAUUGAAUUUGAUGUGUCACAGCACAAUAAGUUAAAUCUUAAAUUUGGACAGACAAGACAAAUAUAGAAGCAUCUAAUCCACCAAAGGAUAGACAUGGGACUUGACAUGAAAAUAAAUACAGACACAAACAUAAACAUUUACUCCUCCAAUGAUUGUUUCAAUAUCUUUAUCCUUGAUAUUUGCUCACUUUUAUAAAAUAUAAAUCUGCUGGAAAAUUUUGUGUACCUUAAACAGUCUUCUGACUUAUGAGAAAAAAACUAUUUUAAAAAAAAUAUUGCAGAGAAAAAUAAAAAAAAAACUGCUAAAGAGACAAAAUAAUGUCAGAAUGCUGACCAAAAUAAUGUUAAAAUUAACCCGUUAAUGUGUUGACAAUUGAGUGAUUAUUAUUAACUUAAGUUUGUUUAAUUGUCAAUUGAGUGAUUAUUAGGCCGAAUUGAUAAAGAACUUUUAAUAAUAUAUGAAAUCUCUUUUUUCAUCAAUCAUGUCUCAAAAUGGUUGGCGAGUAAGCAAUGUUUGGCUUGUCCAACUGCAUUGUCGUGGCCUUGAUAUUUUAACCUAAUAAUGCAAUGAGGUGAUGAUCUCAUUUGCUUUAUCUAUAAGUUAUCCCGAUUUAAUUUAAAACAGAUGUUUCAUUCCCUGUUCUUUGAAUUUUAAAAGUUUUUACUGUAUGUACAGCAAUUAUAAAUUUAAUUUGCGGUUUAAUCGUUAAGCAUGAAUAAUGAUAUGAUCUAACAUACAACUUUAUGUUUAGAGUGAAGUACCCAUAUUUAAAGGUUCAAUAAUAUAUGAAAUCUAUUUUUUCCUUCAAUAAAAAUAUAUAUCUCCCACGUAUAAUUUUAAGUGAGACGAACGUAACAUUUUCUCCCAUAUACAUCCAAUUUGAAAUAAAUCAAUGGUGAUAGUGAUAUUAUUAUGAGAGUAAAAUUACGAAACACAUGACAUGAUUUUAUUAAAUAAUAGUACCUUUAAAUCUCUGUCAUGGUCAAAAAAAAAAUUUGUCACUUUCUUUUAUGUCAAUAAAAAUUAGCUUUUUUUUUUCUCUUUUUUCUCUUUAAAAGAAGAGAAUAACAAUGUUUUAGAUCGUUGUUUACAAUACAUGGAUAAACUGGGUAAUUAGUUAAAGACCUGUAAACCAAAAAUGGAUUUAUGUAUUCAUCUUAUCUCCACAUUAUAUGUUGAUGCUUUCAUUUCUACUCGUCCUUUAGUUUCUUCUCAAUGCACAGGCCAGGAUAGGUGGAACAACAUUUCCAAUGUGCUAUGCUUGUGUUGGAUGUUAUCAACAAUCUUGUAGCCAUCCGAAAAACCCUACGUGACGAGGAAGUAAGAUUAAUUUAAAAGUAUAAUCACAAGUGAUGCAAAUAGUAAUAAAAUCUAAACAAUUAAGAAGUUUUACAGUCAAACUUCUAAGAAUGGAGGUUUGUUCAUUGGUUUUAAAACUUAUUUUGUAUAUUCUAAUUUUUCAUUUAAACAAUUACACAAAUUUUGAUCCAGUGCUGAUUACAAUCUUGUAAGAAAAAAAGCACAAAUCUUAGAUCAGCACUAAAUCCAAAUCUCAAUUCCAAAUAUCAAAAUAGCAAUAAGACUUACUCGAGAUCAAUCGCAUACUCACGAACUUUCACCGAUUGUAUCUCUAAUUGUUAUUGCACGGAAAGGAGCGCCAUUUGGUAACUUGGCAUUAAGCUCAAGACCGGCAAAGACGUGCAUUGGUUCUAGCCAUUCCGGCAUUGUUUCCUCAAGUGAAGCUGCCCAUAUGAAUGCUUGUUUAGGACAUGGAAACACAUCGUAUGCUGCUGCUUCCAAUGCAUCGACCUCGCCUAUAAUAACAACAAUAAAUAGAUGAAUAAUCUAAUCGGAGGUGAUUGUACAUAUACCGACAAUAGGGUUUAUUUUAACUAUGACACAAUUGCACAACUAAUUCCCAGACGAAGGCUCAAUUUAGGACUGGUUAGGCAAUUAAAAAGUGUUUCGUAAGGACUUUCAAUUAUGAUUUGGAAGUUAAAGAUAAUUUUACUCAAUUGUUUGAUGAAAUUGUAUUAGAUCUUGGCCAGGACUUGACUGAGUGUUUUCAAUCAGCUUUCUUUGGCUAGUCACUCAAGUUUAAACCCUGUAAGUGGGAUGAACCAAAGAAAUUGAUUCAGGCUUUUUGUACCACCCCACAACUUACUAUUUAUUCAAACAUAUUUACUUUAAAAGUCAGGGUAUCUUGAUAGGCACCCCUCUAUGUUAAGUUAAAUGAAUAUCGGUGGGUGAGGUUUAUAAUAAUAGACAUCAAUUACAUACCACAGCUUCUUUAUGGACAUGCAAUCCAUCGGUCGUAGCAGAACUAGCUGACAGCGCCUGCAGGGCAUAUGCAAUUAUACUUUGAUUAGUGUUCAUGAAGCUAAAGCAGUGUAAAUAACAGAUCAUGGCUUAAUUAAUUAAUUACCUGAAGGUGGUUAAAUAAUUGAGAAUGAAAUUAUAUUAUUAAGCAAAGACAUAAGCUAAAUUACCCCAUUUAUCUGUUUGAAAUCUCAUCUUGAGAGCAAAUGGCGGCACUGACGAGGCUUGCUCAAUUUCGGCCUGCAUGGCUGCAUGUCUGAUAAGAGUGGAAACAUAAUGCCUUUAGCUAAAUCGUAGAAUGUUAAAUCUGAUGCUACUGAAUAUGGAGAGUGAUUCAUAUACACGGUCUUCACGAAUAUAUAGUUGUUAAUUACAGGAGAAGUUGCAAUAUGAAGUUAAUUUGAAAUUUAUAUUUCUCACCUCGAAUAAUUUCUGGUAAAUCGCUGAUUCGAUAAAGUCAAACUUUCUUUAUGAUCAUCAUCUUCUUCUUGGUCUUCACCUUCCGAUAUUCCUAUUUCUGAUGUUUCUCCACAUUUUCUUCCUCUUUUAACAGCUUUCAUUGAAGCUUUUGACAGAAAUAUCAUUGUGAGAAGAGUAUUUCUAAAGUUUACAACUUGAAAAUGAGACCUUAUGUGAUAUGUACAUGAAGGAUAGAGAACAUGCCAAUAUUUAUAAGAAACAAUGUGGUGGUUUUAAAGAAACUAAAUAAAGUUUAUUAUUUAAUAAAAAGUCAAAUACAAAUCCCGAAGAAUCCGCUGUAUAAUAUGAUAAAAUCUAGAAAACGGAGGCAUCUGUAUGGCAACAUCGUUACUUUGUAUGACUGGAUUAUUUUUAUAAAUUUUUUAUCCAAAGAAACUAAAUAAAGUUUAUUAUUUAAUAAAACAUUAAAUACAAAUCCCGAAAAAUCCGCUAUAUAAUCUGACAGAAUCUAGAAAACGGAGGCACAUGCAUGGCAAUAUCAUUACUUUGUACGAUUGGAUUAUUUUUAUAAAUUUUUAUCCAAAGAAACUAAAUAAAGUUUAUUAUUUAAUAAAAAGUCAAAUACAAAUCCUGAAGAAUCUGCUGUGUAAUCUGACAGAAUCUAGAAAAUGGAGGCACAUAUAUGGCAAUAUCAUUACUUUCUACGACUGGAUUAUUUUACAAAUUUUUUUCUAAUCCCUUAUUUGAUGCUUGUAAAUCAAUAUUUAAAUAUAUAGUUAUUUGAUUUUAACUAUUAAUGUCAAUGUAGGAAUAUAUAUUUAUAUUGAACUAAUAAAACAAUACUAUAAAGACAUUUGAAUAAACUUAAUUAUGGAUUUUGAAUUCAUGAUGUAAGGUAGCAUUUGUUUUUUAAUCUAAAAUUUGAGUGAGUUUGAAUUUAGCUGAAAUCUGAAUAAGUUUGAAUUUUGUAUGUCUAAAUAAAUGACAUGUUUGUUUUCUCUUUUUCGAUAUAUAAUUAUAAGUGGCAUUUUUUUUAAUAAAUCAAAAACAUAUGAAAUAUGAUUAUUUAACAUUUAUGUUUUUGUAAGAAUUAUUUAUACUUAUUAUAAAUUUUAAGAGUUAAAUACGUGCACAUUACAAUUAAAAUCAAACAUACAUAGAAUUGAGUAAUUGAUCUUUAAAUAAAAAUAUUAUUACAUUACUCCAAAUACAAAAUUGAUUCAAACUUAUUAUACUUAUUAAAAUGUGAAUAAAUUUAAUUUUAAUUUUAUAAUUUAAAUAAUCUUUUUUACCAUUUAAGAUUGUAAAAGCCCAUUCGCCCAUACCUAGUCUUUAUUAGUUGUACAUAAAUGUAAAGGCCCAUAUGUUCUUGAGAAGUGUUAAGUGAAUGUAUAUGUGUAAUGUCACUAAAUUCAAGCCAGAGUUAUAACUGUUGGCAGAUUUGUACAAUCCUUUUAAAAUCGUUCUCUAAUUAUAUUAAAAGACAAAAUAAAUCUAAUUAAAUUCUUAUAUUUUUCUCUCUCUAUAAAUUUCUCUUUCUAAUGGGAGAAAGAUAUCUACACCCCCAAAUUUUUGGAAAAUGGUCAUCAACACCUCUAAGUUUUCAAAGAGGGACACCAAGACUCCUUUUUGACGAUUAUAUCAUUUAUCUCUAUUAUCUCAAAAGAAUUAACUCUAAUAUUUUACAAUAAAUAGAAAUAUGAUAUUAAAAUAAAUAUAAUAAUAUAUACAUUUUAAAAUAAUUUCAAUUUUUAAAAAAUAUUUUAAUAUUUUAUAAUCUAUUAGAUAUAUUUUAUUAUAUUAAAGUAAAUUUUAUGAUAAAUAGAAUCAUAAUAUUAAAAUAAAUGUAUUAAAAUUAAAAUUAUAUUGAAUAUUACGUAAAAUAAUAAUUUUAAAAAUAUUAGUAUGUGAGAAUAUUUUUAAUUGUAGAACGUAUUUAAUGCAAAUAUAUAUUUAAAAUCUUUACAAUAAAUAAAAAUAUAUUAUUAAAAUAAAUAUAAUAAUUUACAUAUUAAAAUUUAUUAAAAUAUGAAAUAUUUUAAUAUUGUUAGUCUACUGCAUAGAUUAUAUUAUUUAUAUGGCAUUGACAUUUACUAAAAAUUUUAAAGUCAAUUUUUUAGAAUAAUAGAGAUAAAUGGUAUAAUGGUCAAAAGGAGGUCUUGGUGUCUCUCCUUAAAAGCUUGGGGGUGUUGAUGACCAUUUCUCCAAAUCUUGGGGGUGUAGAUGUCCUUUUUCCUUUUCUAAUUCAUUACCCCCACACAACUACACCAAAGUCUUAAAUUUUUUUUUUAAAGUCUUUUAUAUUUUUUUUGUUUUCUCUCAAACACUUUGUAUAUUACAUAAUAGUUAUUUGAGUCCAUUUUUAGUUCUACUCAAUUGAAGUAUAUAGAAUUUUCUUUUUAAUUAAAUAUAUAUGAUUUAAACUUUCAAAAAUUUGUAAAACAAUAUCAAUAAUAGGAAGUCUGUAGAAGAAACUAACUAUUUUUUAAUAAAAAAGAAACUGCAAUUUUAAAAAAGAGUUUUUGAAAAAUUAAAAUAAGUUUUGACAGAAAGGGGGGCUUGAGAAAAAAAAAUUACAAGGUGCUAUUAGUCCCACUCUUCAAGCAAAGAUACACAGACCUUUUCUCCUCCGAAUAAAUUUUGCGGUGAAUUUUUAUUGUUGGCUAAUAACGUUGAUAUGAGUGUGAAUAUAAAAAGGAGAAAACUUAUAAUAAAGGAUUAUAUGAACUAUGUUUUAAAGAGAAACAUAUACGAGCUAGUGAGAUAAAUUGAAGAGGUUACGUAUCAUCAAUCUAGUUACUUCAGAAAAUAUGGCCCAAUGUCUUCAGAUGGGUUAGUGUUACUGUGUUAGUGUGUUACUAAGAAAUAGGCCGAAGUUGUAAAAAUAAAAAAUAAAAAUAGUAGUUUUUCAUAUUAAAAGAGAACAGUUAUUUCACAGACCACAUGAAUAUCUCUAUGGGGUUGAUGCUUUCAUUUCUACAACUUCCUUUAGUUUUCUCCCCAGUGCAAACGCCAGAGGAGGUGGAACAGCAUUUCCAAUCUGCCGAUGAUGUGUUGGAUGUCACCAACAAAUUUAUAGCUAUCGGAGAAACCCUGCGGGAAUCAAGAGAGCAGGGUAACAUGACAGCAGAAACAGUUGGCAAAAUUUAUCUUGUUUGAUUCAAUAAUUAGCUUGUCAAGUUAAAAGUGUCACCGGUGCUGCAUGAAAAUUAUUUUUUGUCAUUCUGGUUUUUCAUCAUUCCAACUAACUGCAGAUUUUUACAUAUAUAGCCAAAAAGACUUACUUGUGAUCGAGCACACUCACGAACUGUGAUUAUUCUAUCCUGAUUUGGGUGAAAACAGGUUCCGACCAUACCCAUCGGAUGAGGAUCAGUAACGGAGGUUGGAAAAUUUCCUUCCCAGUCCAACCUUCCGAACAAACCCUUCCAUUGAUUGUGCUUUUCAGCUGUAUUGGGUAAGCACCAGGGUAUUAAAUCUACAACCUAUCUGUUAGACAAUCGAACCUGGAGGGGGAAUUUGAAAAGGAAAAUGUUUAAAACCAAAGCAAUUAUGAAAUGAUAAUUUCAGUUAGAUCUAAAAGAAAAACUAUACACCUUCUCACUAGGAAGAACACGCCAAUCGGAACCAGGCUGUUUUGGGAUCUUUUGACACCUAAUAAGGUUCAGCUCACUCAUUGCCUUUGAUAUAUGAUCAUUUAAGACCAGCAUAUCUCCUCUGAUUUUCUUUUGAAACCAUAACACAGGUUCACUUUUAUACUGCGCGGUAGGAAAAUACAAGAAACAAGACCUUUGGUAGAAGGAACAACAAUAAAGAUAAAAUGAGCAUCACAGACAGGUGAAGAAAAUCCCACUUCCAUGGUUGUUACAGAAGCCCCAUUGCCAACAGCUGGGAGGUCUCCAAUUGUAUCUCUAACUGUUAUUGCACGAAAAGGAGCACCAUUUGCUGUGCUUCGAACAGCAGCAUAAUGGGAAUUUCUAGCUAACUUGACCUUUAGCUCAGGGCCAGUGAACACAUGCAUUGGCGCGGGCCAUUCUGGAAGGGUUUCCUCAGGUGAUGCUUCCUAUAUGAAUGCACGUUUAUGUUGGGAAAAUAUGCUCUUUAAAAGCAUAUGUAUUUAUUUAAUUGUAAUAAACAAUUUUUCUGAUUAAUAAAAUAAAUGAGGUAUUUUAUUCAAAUAUCUUAAUUACAUUAAUAUUUGUAUUAAAGUGCAUUUAAUCAUAUUAUAUGUAUUUAUGUGAUCACCAUGUGGAUUCAUAGAAGACAUAAAUACAAGUUAUCUUAUGAUUAAAUAAAUUUAGUUCGUAGUUGAUAAAUAAAGUUGGGCACUUUAUUUAGGUAUAGACUGUAAUAAAUUCAUUAAAUGAUUUGUCUUAAUCAUGUAUGAAUUUAUUGAUGUAGUACGACUACAUUGAACAGGAUCACAUAUGAGAUUUAAUUAACUUUGUAAUAACUGUCAGACUUAUUAAAUCUCAUAGGCGUUGAUUUUACUGUAAUCUUAAUCUUGAGUUAAUUAUGAUUUCAUGAUUGUGAUUGUUAUUUCAUUUGAGUUACCAAUGGGCACAACACAUCCUUGUGGUCAAGAUUACCCGGUAUCUUGGUGGGAGCAAUUAUGAGUAUUGGAGUUAUGGAUUAACAAUAUAGAAUUUGUACAACACAUCUCUUGAUAGGUUUUCGGUACUUGAUCAUAGAAUUCUCUGGCCAGAGUGUGUCAACAUAUUUAGUAUGUUGAAAAUGAUCAUUAGAGAAAACCAGUAAGGAUCAAGGAAUAAGAUGUUAUUAAAUUGAUUGGACAGUUGAGAUAUCAAUUUAAUUAACGAUGUGGUACAAAGGAUUGUGCAGUAAAGAAAUCAAUGUGGCUUAGGACGAAUUAUUAUUUGAACAUACAAUUAUGGAAGUCAGUUCCAAUCUUUUAGUGGAGUAGAUUUGGAAUUAAAUAAUUUGGCUAGUUUAAUUACAGGCCUAAUUAUUGUAGCCACUAUUGUAUGUUCCCAAAUGAUCCCCGGGUUAGCUCAUUUAAUUGAUUGCACCACUACUGGACUAAUAAGCAAGAUAACUAGCUAUUUGGGUCAAAAGCCUAAAUAUAUCAUUUAGUGGGAGGCUCCAUUUAAUAAGCUUAUGUAUAAGGGGCCUCAUGUUAUUUUACAUGGUGGGUCCCCUACAAAAUAAAAAGGAACGUGAGUUUUAUUUUGGGCAUUAUUUGGAGCCUAGGAUUUUCACUAAAGGGAGAUAUAUAAGGCUUAUUUUCUCUAAAAAAAAAAAAAAGACAAGCCACUUUAUACAAAUCAGAGAAUAAGAUUUUUCUCUCUAUUGUUGAGAGAAAAAUUUUCUCGUGCUAGUUGCUUUGGUAGUGAUAAAGGCGCCCACACGUCAAGUGCAGAUCGAACCUGAGUCAUAACCUGGAAGAUCAUUGGUGACAGUUCGUGAUCUAACAAGCGUGGUGGUGACGGAUCGUGAUCUAACAGGAGUGGUGGUGGCAGAUCGUGAUCUAGGAGCCUAAAUCACUUCAGUGGAAAAGCCAACUCGGAUUUUCAAGGUACGAUUUCUAGAAUACGAAUUCUUAUAUUUUAUAUGAGAGCGAUCUUCAAAAGGUUUUAUAAAAAUUAAAAAACCUAAUUUUUCCCCACAGUUUACGAGACUGAGACAUGCCAUAUGCCCUUGCUUGCAGGACACCAAAUCUCACCUACAACAACAAAUUAGAUGAAUAAUUUAUAUAAGCUACAUGAUACUUUCACAAUUUUCCGAUUAAAUUGACUAAUUAAAUGGAGAAACAAAUUUAGGGAAUUUUGAUAGGCACCCCUCUAUCAAGUUAUGAGUAAAUCAAAAAUGGUAUCUACCUGAUAACCCAUCUGAAGGAGAGAAGCCAGAGUUAAGCGAAAUGUUUGCCCUUUGUUAAAUGAUGUAAAGUUCCUUACAUUCUCCAGAAGGAAAAAUCUGGGGCGGAAAUAAUCAGCAAAAGACAACGAUGCUAAGAUCAUUUCACAUUGAACUUUGCUCCAAGAGCCUUGAUUAAACCUAUUCAUUCCAGAAAAUCCCUGGAAAUAACAAAGAACCAAUAGCUAAACUUUAUAGGUCUAUUGUACACAAUUACUGUUAGAAUUGCUUACAAAAUAAAUCCUAGAAGUAGGCUGGAGGAUAGAUCGAUGUACCUGACAAGGAGGCCCUCCACUGAUGAAAUCCACUUGUCUUGGCUGAGGCAAAUUCUUAAUUGUCUCUGUUUGUGGGAUAUGCUUCGACGAAGACCAACAGUGAUGAGCAGACAUCUGGUAGCAGGGUUCCUCGAAUAGGUAUAUCUUCUAAGAGUCUAGUAGCCGGGGGGGCAGGAGCAGGAAUAUCCUACUCGUCCGCGAGUACGUCAUCUACGAGGCCAAUCUCCUGCUGGAAGCAUAAAGCCAUUCCUAUUAAGGGUUGAGUCGAGGAGUCCCAGUUAACGACAGUUGGCGAGACAUGCUCGCCAGUCCAAGAAUCAAGGCACGAAGGCCACGCAACCACCCACGACUACAGAAAUGAGGCAUCCACUUUCGAGAGGUAGGAGGAUAACGAGCGCGAAUGGAGGGAAGGCCUGAGUUCAGGAGGGGCCUAUAAAAAGGUAGCCAACGAAGGUAAAAGGGUUAGAAUUUUUUAGAUUAGAACUGAGAAAAAAAGAGAGAGCUCUACAGAAUUGAUACGCCAUAAGAUUUGUGGCUAGCAUUUCCAGGAACACAAAAACCUUCAUUUCUGACUUGAGCGUCGGAGGGUUUACACCGGGAAAACAACCGGCGUGCUCUGACCUGAUUCUGUGUACGCAGGGACUUCUGGAGAAGAAGCCUUACGAGGAGAUAUCCUUAUCGUAAUAGAGUUGAUCGAGCAGAGAUCCUGGUCGUGGUAGGAAGGGUAACCAGAAUCUCGCAUCAACAUUUUGGCACCGUCCGUGGGGAUCAGAUCAAAAAGCUUCUGUUGACAGCAAGAAGAGGAGCAAAGCAAGUGGAAAAACAAUGGAGGCGGGAGGAAGUAGUGCACAAGGGGGUGAUACGAGGCUUAACGAUUCCGUGACGCUGAGGGAGAUAACCAGUGAAGCACGGGAAAAAGUCAUGUUUGACCGGAUGGAACGAAUGGAAAAACAGAUGGAAACCCUAACAACCAUCCUGCAUGAGCUGCGGAGUGAAUGAAUGGGAACCCAGGAGGAAAGGUGAGAGGUGGUGGAGUGGCACCAGGUCACGAUAGUACGAGGAGAAGUCAAACCACCAGGAGAUUUGGAGGUGAGAGAGGUAACUUAUCUCUGCGGGGAGAAAUUCAUAGAGAGGAAGAGCAAUCCCCAGCAAGACAGAUUUUUGAUGAGGACGACGGGGUGGCGAAUGCCGAGGAAACAGAGCUCAGGCAACACUUACAUGAUGUAGAACAAGAGCGGGAUCAAGUUGCAACACGUGACCCUGGUCGCGCAGUGCAGCUGGAGGAGGAAGUGCGCAGACUAGUGCAGGUAAUUGAUGACAUGCAAGGAAGGAGCAGAGCUCCUGGUUGGAGGAUAAUGCUGGACGGAGAAUCACCGCUCGUGGCAGAAAUCAUGAGGGUAGUCAUUCCAAGAGAUUUUCGCCUCUCAGACCUUAGAUAUUCGGGACGAACUGAUCCGUUGGUGCACAUAGAGCGCUUCAACGAUAUAACCGGGGUGUAAGGAUUAUGUCAAGCCUAAAGGUGCAUGGUGUUCCCACUAUCCCUAGAGGGACACGCACGGGAGUGGUACAGAAAACUUCCUCGGGGGAGCAUUAAAACUUUCGAGCAGAUGUGCAAGGAAUUUGUAGAGCAGUUUCGUGGGGCAAUGGCACCAGAAGAUGACAUGAUGGAGUUGAAAAGCAUGAAGCAGGGGGAGCAAGAAACCCUUCAGAAAUUCAUCAAGAGGUUCCAUCGUGCUGUCCUCGAUUUGGGAGCCUUUAACCAUCCUCAGGCAAUAAGGGGAUUGAAAGAAUGGGUGAAAAUAGAAAGGCUGUGGUACAACUUGAGAAGCCCUGUUAUUCAGACGUAUGCAGCCACAUACGAGCAAGCUAAGAGGGUCAUAGAGAUUGAGGAAGAAAAGGCAGCACAAAUUAAGACAGACUAGCUAGAAGGGCUGGGAAAGAAAGAUAAGAGAGCAUUACCAGGGAAUGGGCCGAUCAGGAGGAGGGACCACCAGGCCUCAGGUAGUGGUGCAGGAGGUUGGGUAACCACUUACCAGCCUCAUCAAAGGCUAUCACAGUGUCAGUAUAGCAGGGUGCAACCUCCUCGCUCACCAGCUAGGGAGCCUUGGAGAAGGCAUGACUCGGCAUAUGGUGGUCUUCAUCCACACUCCGACGGUAGUAGAGGGAGUAGACCAGAAGCGCUGCCACUGCCUCCAACUCAGAACGGUGCUAAUAGAGAAAAGGCAGUGCACAUGAUCGACCAAAACCAGGACUAUGGGCAGUAUACUUCCUUGAAGUUGCUCCUGGACGAGGUGUACGAGGCCAUAAAGGACUGGGGACUACUGUACCUUCCUACCCUAAUAACAAAGCUACCCAGCAGGAAAGAUAGGGGACGCUAUUGUAAGUUCCAUGGCACUCAUGGCCAUACUACUACAGAAUGCAGAGAUUUUAAGACCCAGGUUGAAGAUUUGGUGAGAAAUCGGUACCUGGACGAGUUUAUAGAUGGGACUUUCCCAAUGGUGGCCUCGACAUGUGAAGGGGAGCAGAGUGACAGAAACUUGAGGCGCGAGAAGCCUACAGUAAGGGUGAUAGCUGGGGGCCCAACAUUGGCCGAAGAUUCCAACAGAUCGAGGAAGAAUUAUGCUAGAUACGCCAUGACUAGUAAAGAGGUAUUCCUUAACACCCCAGCAGCCAAACGAGUAAGAGUCAGGUAAGUGUCAAUCAUGUAGAUAGAUGAGGAUGAAGAAGGGAUUCUAUACCCCCACGAGGAUGCCUUAGUUAUCAAGGCCACUGUUGCUAGCAAGAAAUUUAACCGGAUACUGGUUGACACAUGGAGCUCAGUUGAUGUGUUGUUUAAGUCAAUUGUGGAGGAGAUGGGAAUAACAGACUUGAAGUUGGCGUACACCAAUACCUCCUUGAAGGGGUUUGGAGGAGGAAAGCUGGUCCCUCUGGGCGUGGUCGAGCUACUUAUCACGAUUGGGAGCUCCCCAACAAAAAGGACUAUGAUAUUGGACUUUGUGGUGGUGGAUGAAGAAGGUCAUUACAAGAUAAUCCUAGGUCGACCAUUUCUGAGGAUGAGCAAAGUGGUACCGUCCAACCAUUAUCUAGCUCUCAAGUACUAGGUGAAUGGGGUAGUUACAGUGGUACGAAGAGACUAGAGAAUCGCACGAAGCUGUUACUCCUUGGCAGUAAGGGAAGCAAUGCAGAUUACAUCCUUUGAUACUUGAGUAGAGACCAAAAUUGGCAGACAGGAGCCCGUAGAGGAACUAGAGACAGUAAGCUUGUAGCAGGAUGACCCUGGAAAAACAGUCCGAAUCGGGUCGAGACUUAAAGAUGAGCAGAAGCAGGAGCCGGUCCAUUACUUACGAGCACAUGCAAAUGUGUUUGCUUGGACACACGAAGACAUGCUGGGAAUCGACCCUGAGGUCGCAUGCCAUAGGUUGGCAAUAAAAAAGGGUGCUCGGGCAAUAAGGCAGAAAAGAAGAUGCUUCAACCAGGAGAGAUAUGAGGCUAUAAACGGUGAAGUGGAGAAACUCUUGAAGGCAGGGUUUAUUCGGGAAGUCAACUAUCCGGAGUGGAUAUCGAAUGUGGUAUUAGUAAAAAAGGCCAAUGGCAAGUGGAGGAUGUGUGUGGAUUUCACGGAUCUCAAUAAGGCAUGCCCGAAAGACAGCUUUCCCUUACCAAAGAUCGACCAGCUUGUAGACUCAACAGCUGGACAUGGCCUGCUCAGCUUCAUGGACGCGUUUUCGGGAUACAACCAAAUCCCCAUGUUCGAGCAGGAUGAGGAGAGCACGGCAUUUAUUACUAACCAGGGUCUGUUCUGUUACAGGGUAAUGCCGUUUGGUCUUAAAAAUGUGGGGGCCACAUACCAGAGACUGGUGAACAAAGUCUUUAAGCCGUUGAUUGGGAGAACAAUGGAGAUGUACGUGGAAGACAUGAUAACUAAGUCGAAAAUCCCGAAGGAACAUGUCGAGCACCUUGAGGAGACAUUCGCGCUUUUGAGGAAGUACAAGAUGAAGCUCAACCCGGAAAAGUGUGCUUUUGGGGUCGAGUUAGGGAAAUUCCUCGGAUUCAUGGUGAGUCAUAGGGGGAUCGAGGGAAAUCCCGAGAAGAUCUAGGCGAUCGUUCAGAUGAGGUCUCCUCGUAACCUGAAGGAGAUGCAGAGCCUUACGGGGAGGCUGGCAACAUUGAGCCGAUUCAUAUCCAAAGCUACAGAUAAGUGUCAGACAUUCUUUCAAGUGAUAAGGAGAGGGAAGAAAACAGAAUGGACCCCAGAAUACGAAGAGGCCUUUCAGAGCUUGAAGCAAUACUUGCAGCAAGCACCCCUACUGUCCACACCAAGGGAUGGGGACAAGUUAUCAUUGUAUUUGGCGGUAUCAGAUCGUGCCACAAGUUAUGUUCUGGUGAGAGAGGAAGAAGGGGUUCAGUAUCCGAUAUACUACACCAGCAAGGCCCUGCUCGACGCUGAGACCCGACACCCACCGUUGGAGAAAUGGGCACUCGCUCUUGUGGUCGCUGCUCGAAAGCUGAGACCGUACUUUCAAGCAUUCCCCGUCUCGAUAAUAACAAACCAGCCGUUGAGUUAAACCCUACACAAGCCGGAUGCCUCUGGUCGGCUCGUGAAGUGGGCUAUAGAGCUGAGCUAGUUCGACAUUGAUUACAAACCCCGAGCAGCGAUAAGGCGCAAGCAAUGGCCGAUUUCGUAGUAGAGUUUGCAGAGCCUGAAAUAUGUUUGGACCAGCUGGAUAUUGCUACAAACAGCAGCGAAGCCUGAGUAUGGCAGAUGUCUGUAGAUGGGUCAUCAGGGGAGCAGGGAUUAGGAGCAGGAAUUGUCUUGGAAGGCCCAGAGGGGGAGGAGAUCUCUUAUGCUGUAAAGUUAGAAUUCACAGCCACAAAUAACCAGGUAGAGUACAAAGCCUUGAUAGCAGGUUUGGAAUUGGCUAAGGUUGUGAAAGCAGAUAGAGUGAAGAUCAUAACUGAUUCCCAGCUAGUUGCGAAUCAUGUCAGUGAAAGAUUUUAACCGAGAGAGGAGAAGAUGGAGUAGUACCUGAAGAUAGUCAGGCAGAUGAUGGGGAAAUUCGAAGCGGUAGAGGUGAUACAAAUCCCCAGGGAGCAGAAUAGUCGAGCAGAUAUUUUGGCCAGGAUGGCAGCAGUAGCGGAUCCAAAAAUACCGAAGUCGAUCCCUCUGGAGGUGAAGUCCAGCCCGAGCAUCGAGCAGAAUCUGAAGGUGCUGAGGAUAGAACAAAAAUACUCGUGGAUGGAUCCGAUAAUUUCAUACCUUAGAGACGGGGUAUUACCACCAGACAAGCUGCGAGCUCAGAAGAUUAGAGCCUAGGCCUCAAGAUAAACGAUGAUUGAUGGGGUGCUAUAUCGGCGAGGGUAUACGCUACCGUUCCUUCGGUGUUUGGAUGAGGACGACGCGGACUACAUACUGAGAGAAAUACAUGAAGGAAUUUGUGGAAACCAUUCUGGUGGAAGGUCCCUAGCCCACAAGGUUCUAAGGCAGAGAUAUUUCUGGCCGACAAUGCACUAGGAUGCGCAUGAGAAGACCAGGAAUUGUGUAAGCUGCCAGAGUUUUGCAAGUUUCUCCAAUCAACCACCAGAGAAGCUCACCUCAAUGGACUCCCCUUGGCCAUUUGCUCAAUGGGGAAUUGAUCUGAUCGGCCCGUUGCCAAAGGGACGAGGAGCAGUAACACAUGCAAUAGUUGCAAUAGACUACUUCACAAAGUGGAUAGAGGUAGAAGCCCUCAGCAGGAUCACAAAGAAGAAGACAACAGACUUCGUAUGGAGAAACCUGGUCUGUCGUUACGGGUCCCUUAUGCCUUGAUAACGGAUGAUGGCAGACAGUUUGAUAACCAUAACUUCAAGGAUUUCUACCAGAACCUCGGGAUAGAGUUGAAAUAUUGCUCGCCUGCUCACCCUUAGUCUAAUGGACAAGUAGAAGCAGCCAACAAGACGAUCAAGAGGCUUUUGAAAACCAGGCUUGGAGCAAAAAAGGGUGCAUGGGUUGAAGAGCUAUCAGGUGUUUUAUGGGCAUACAGGACAACCCACAAAACAGCAAUAGGAGAAACACCAUUCGCCUUGGCCUUCGGACAUGAGGCGGUCGUACAAGCCGAGAUAGGAACGACCACGCACCGGACAGAUCAUUUCGAUGAGCAGGAGAACAACGAGCAGAUGUGCCUGAAUCUGGAUUUGCUAACUGAGAAGAAGGACCAGACAUCGAAGCGAUCAGCCAUUUACCAGCAGAGGGUAGCUCGGUAUUAUAACCAGAUGGUGAAUGUACGACAGUUCAAAGUCGGAGAUUGGGUGCUGAGGAGAGUGAAUUAGAACACCAAAGACCCGACUCAAGGAGUGCUUGGACCGAAUUGGGAGGGGCCAUAUAGGGUCAAGCAGAUAGUGGGACCCGGAGCUUACAAGCUGAUUCGCACGGACGGCCACGAGGUGAAGUGCCCGUGGAACGCGGCACACCUUAGGAAAUAUUUCCAGUAAGACUUGUUCAUGUUUUAAAGUUAUUUCUGUUCGUGCUCGUUAUCAUUUAUUUUAUGUUAAAGCAAUCUCAUGUAAAUCGAAUUCAACAAUAAAUGAAUCGAUGAGGAAUUUCAGUCAAUUGUACCGCUAGAAAUAUUUCUAAGGCAUGCAAAGGCUCACCAGGUCUCAAACCCUGUUUAUGGCGAGACCAGAAGCCAAACGUGCCAAGAUCUGCUCGACCACGCGAAGGCAAGCAGAAUCCCAAGCAUUGAAGAAUUGUCUAAGGCAUGCAAAGGCUCACCAAGUCUCAAAACCUAUUUAUGGCGAGACCAGAAGCCAAGCGUGCCAGGAUCUGCUCGACCACGCGAAGGCGAGCAGACUCCCAAAUAUCGAAAAAUUUCUAAGGCAUGCAAAGGCUCACCAAGUCUCAAAGCCUGUUUAUGGCGAGACCAGAAGCCAAGCGUGCCAGGAUCUGCUCGACCACGCGAAGGCGAGCAGACUCCCAAAUAUCGAAAAAUUUCUAAGGCAUGCGAAGGCUUACUAGGUCUCAAAACCUGUUUAUGGCGAGACCAAAAGCCAAGCGUGCCAGGAUCUGCUCGACCACGCGAAGGCGAACAGAAUCCCAAGCAUUGAAGAAUUGUCCAAGGCAUGCAAAGGCUCACCAAGUCUCAAAGCCUGUUUAUGGCAAGACCAGAAGCCACGCGUGCUAGGAUCUGCUCAAUCACGCGAAGGCGAGCAGACUCCCAAAUAUCGAAAAAUUUCUAAGGCAUGCAAAGGCUCACUAAGUCUCAAAGCCUGUUUAUAGCGAGACCAGAAGCCAAGCGUGCCAAGAUCUGCUCGACCAUGCGAAGGCGAGCAGACUCCCAAAUAUCAAAAAAUUUCUAAGGCAUGCAAAGGCUCACCAAGUCUCAAAGUCUGACUAUGGCAAGACCAGAAGCCAAGCGUACCAGGAUCUGCCCGACCAAGCGAAGCCGAGCGGAAUCCCAAGGCAUGCAAAAAAUUAAGUCCGAAAGCCAGUCAUGUAGCAAGAACAUAUGAAAAGCUAGAACCUGCUCGACCCAGCGAAGGCGAGCAGACUCUCAAAUGGAAAAAUAACUCGUAAAUACAACACGAGAAAGCAAUCAAAAACAUUUUUAUUAAUUUGUCAAUAACUAGCAAAGUUGAUAAUAUUCACACACAUUGUUCAUUACAACACAAGAAACAUGUUUAAGAGGACAGCGGGUCAGUAAGUCGAGCACCAUCAGUUGGCUGGACCACCUCAGGUGCAGGGGGUAUCACCAGUUGCGUCCGGGGGGUGCUUGCCUCACCAACAUCAGCAGGGAUUGCACGAGGAGGAGAGUUUUCCUCCUCAACCAGAAUUGGCUCCACCUCUUCGACAUCCUCUUUUGCUGCCUCCUCGUCCAUGUGUUGAGCAACACCAGCUGCAAGGUCAUCCAUCUUCAAAUCAGGGUGCUGCUUCCCAAGGAUGGCCAUGAUGCAACGAUAGGAAUGUCAGAGUCCCUGGUCGUAUUGGUUGUCAGCCUCCUUCUCCAAGUUCUCGACCUGAACCCGGUGGGAAUCGCGGAAAGAUUCGCGCUGAGCCUCGUACAUAAUCUUCUGCCUUUGCAGAUCCUCCUUGACCUUAGUCAGCUCGUUCUCGAGAGUAAUGGUCUUUGCUUGAGCAAGAGAUUCUUGUUCUAUCAGCUUCAGAUUCUCGAGAUUCAGGUCUCCUGCUUUCUUCUCGGCAUCGUCAGCUCGGGUCAUUGCUGACUGAAUGUCCUCCUUCAUCUUCCGGUCAUAACGGCCGACCUUGGCCUUAUAGUAAGUGGUCAUGCAGCUGAGAUGGAAAGCGCUAUACUGUAUGGCCCCCACCAGCUCACCUAGGGUGCAGCCAUCAAAGUCCUCCAAGUCCUUCUUGCUCACGAGUUUAGAUAGCUCGUUGAGAUAAGGGGCCAAGUGCUCUGCUCGGUUGUUAGAUAAACGAGAUUUAGGCCCGACCGGAGGAGAAGAGGAAGCAGGAUCAGCGGCUGCUCCACUAGUUUCUUUGACUUUGGAAUGAAGAGGAGGUAGAGUCUUCAAGGGAGGAACCUGCUGCACAAUGUUCACCCGCUUCGCAGUGGGAGCGUCCUUGUUCUGGUCCCUCUUCGCAGUUUGAGGUCGAGGACGUUUCCGAGUCAGAGCUCCAAUCACAGCAUCCUCCAUCUUAUGGCCGGGGGGCACCAAACAAGACUCGAGUAGGUUAUAAGCAGUUAUUAGCUCUCGACUCAAGCAGAAAUUGGCCAGUACAGCCUCGACCUGUUUGAGCUGGUUAGGUUUGAGUAGGAAGUGAACACCCCAAGAACCUGCAAUACAAACAGACAUUUGGUUAGAGACAAACCAGUAAAGCGAGAACAAUUAUGGAUACAAGACAUCUAAAGUGAGCAGGCAACCUGGGACCACGAAAUGGGGUGGGACGCGAUAAUCCUUCCUGUCAAUCUGUGCAACUUGACUCCAGGGACCGCCAGUAAAAAAGAACUUUUUCUUCCAAUUCCCAACACCACCAGUAGGGAGGUCGGUUAUGGGUUUCCUGGUCUUAGUACUUGAUUGGAAGUAAUACCAGCCAGCAUCUUUGGGGCUACUUUUCAGCUGGUACAGAUGCUUCACCUCAUCAAUUGUGGGCUCACUUUGGCAACAUCUGUCCCACAAUAUGAAUAGACCAGAGAGUACUCUCCACCCGCUGGGGUUCAGCUGACCAGGAGCUAGAUUUAGCCCUUUAAGAAUCUGGGCAAAGUAGGGUUGCAAGGGACACCUCAGUCCAUACUUAAAACUCUCCAAAAAUAAGGUAACAUAUCCCCUAGGAGGCCGGCUAGGGGUAUCCUUCUUUCUUGGGAUCUUAAGAGGUAUUUCACCACGAAUACUAUACCUAAGCCGGAGGUCAGUGAGCGCGUCAAAUGUGGUCAUGCACGUAAUAUAAUCAAUAGCGUAAUCCCGCGAUAGGGCUCUACCCCCUACUGUACUCCGCCCUUCUGGUCGCGAUAUUCCCGAUGAGGAUACCUCACCAGAGUCACCCCCUCGAUCCUCAUUCAGGGUGUUUUCUGAGCCAAAAGAUCCCUCCUCACUACUAUUUCCACUCAAGGAGGCUGUUUGGGGGGACAUCCUCCUAGAACUAGUCCCAACACUAGACCUAAUGGGCUUCAAAGGGAUCCCGGGGUCAAAAGUAAGAUCGGUGAGCAGACUAGGCAGGAAGUCCAACUCAUCGUCAUCAACCUCAAUGACUUUCUCUUUACCUUUCGACAUUCCCUAAAUUAUAACCAGAGCACCACCACCAACCACUACCCAAGCAAAGCAAAGAGAAAAGAAAUUAUCUACAACUAUCCAAGACCGAGAAAAUAAGAGAAAUACCUGAAGAAAGGGCUCGGUCAGAAAGAGACAGGGAUGGAAGCCUUAAUGCCGAAGUUCAUUCGCCGGAGAGACAAUAAGGGAGAAGAUGACGAGUUCUCGUUUAGGGGUUUUGGGUUUUCCUACUGAGGAACAAAUUCUUGGGAUGCCAGCAAUUAACGGCACAUAUCCCAAGAGUCUUACAACCGUAGGUUUGAAAUUCAAAUGGAGGGGUAGAUUUCUGCCACAUCACCUCAUCCGCAAUUAAAUGCAACACGAUUCUUGGCAGCCUUUUCCAAUCCCGCGCGAGCCAGAACUGUCGAGUUUCUACUGUCGGCUCACUAUGUUACCCAACACCAGAAACUGGGGGACCAGUGUUUGUGGGAUAUGCUUCGACGAAGACCAGCAGUGAUGGUCAGACAUCUGGUAGCAGGGUUCCUCGAACAGGUAUAUCUUGUAAGAGUCUGGUAGCCGGGGGGGCAGGAGCAGGAAUAUCCUGCUCGUCCGCGAGUACGUCAUCCACGAGGCCAAUCUCCUGCUGGAAGCAUAAAGCCAUUCCUGCUAAGGGUUGAGUCGAAAAGACCCGGUCAACGACAGUUGGCGAGACGUGCUCGCCAGUCCGAGAAUCAAGGCACGAAGGCCACGCAACCACCCACGACUACAGAAAUGGGGCAUCCACUUUCAAGAGGUGGGAGAAUAACGAGCGCGAAUGGAGGGAAGGCCUGAGUUCAGGAGGGGCCUAUAAAAAGGUAGCCAACGAAGGUAAAAGGGUUAGAAUUUUUUAGAUUAGAACUGAGAAAAGAAGAGAGAGCUCUACAGAAUUGAUACACCAUAAGAUUUGUGGCUAGCAUUCCCAGGAACACAAAAACCUUCAUUUCUAACUUGAGCGUCGGAGGGUUUAUGCCGGGCAAACAACCGUCGUGCUCUGACCUGUUUCUAUGUACGUAGGGACUUCUGGAGAAGAAGCCUUACGAGGAGAGAUCCUGAUGGUAAUAGAGUUGAUCGAGCAGAGAUCCUGGUCAUGGUAGGAAGGGUAACCAGAACCUCGCAUCAAUAGUCUCUUCAUCAAGUUUUGCUGCUAGAUCAGCAGCUUCAGGAGUUGAAUUACAGUCAUCAGUAUCCCCACAUGCUGACAUGAUAGCCCUGCAUUUGAUUCAUUGAUUUAUUGAAGAUAUAAGAGUUGAUUUCAAAGCAAUUAUCACCUAAUCGAACACAAAGCCAUGAGUUAUUAUACUUAAAUGAAAGCAAACAUCAACCUCAGGAUCACAUUGCAGUUGUUAAUAAACACCAAAGCGUCUGGAUGAUUAACAUUGAAUGCUUCUCCUACUGAUUGCUCAUUCUCUAUAGCCCAGUUGGUUAUCGACAGUUCGACACACCUUUAGUUGCAUAUUUGUCAGUCACAAUAGACCUAAAUCGGUUUACUUGCUCACGGAACUUUGAAAGUUACCUGCUUGCUGUAGGCCAUCAAAUAAGCCACCACAACCUGCGAAAUUAUCUAAUGUGGCUAAGCAAUUCUUAGAUAUUCAGAUUUUACUCCAUUCAAUAAAAAAUGAUAUCUACUAGUUUAAAAAAAAACUAGUAGUAUAAGACAAAGGAAAAAAAGAACACGUAAAAUGUUUAGAUUUUACUCCAUUCAAUAAAAAAAGAAAUAUUUAGAUCGGUUCCUAGAGCAUACUUACUUCUCUAAUGUCAGAGUAGUAUGCUUUCUCCUCUGAUAUGAUGAUGAGCUACGUAGACAUAAUCAUGAACAUGGCAGUAGAUGGUACUCCGUUCCUUUGAGAGUGAACCAUUUCUGUUCAAAUUUACCUUGAAAACGUCCUUCUUCCUCUCGGUUUCCUUUAUUUUACAAGAAUGGCAAGCUCCUGUUCCAAGUCCCAUGGUAUCUUUUUGAAGCUUAAAGAAAGCACCUCUCUCAGGCCAGUACAAGCUUUUACAAUAAUAUUCCAUGGGGAAUUGAUCAAUUCUUCUAUCCUCUGCUCUUUCACGAACAAUUUUGUCCUUGCAAGCAUUAGUAUUCCGAUGUUGAUGCCCCCAAAGAAUCAAUAAGAUUUCAACUGCCACAACUUCUUUAACAUCUUCCAGUUCAAUUUCCAAGCAAUCAUUUGUCAAAAAAACCUCAUUAGAAUCUGCAGUUUUAUUACAAGAAACGUUUCAGAGCCUCUUAGCAUGUGUCUGCCAUGAACCAUCUUUCUUGAAUCUGACUUUUCAAACAUAAACUCUACAAAAUAUAUUAAAGGCAAAUGAUCUGAAUCUGCAGUUUCAACCAGCACGCAACCACCAACAUUAACCACAUUGCCACAAACAAUGGCACGUUUGUAAAGAGACUCACUCAAACAUGUUUUUCUUAUUAACUCCCCAUCCCAUUUCGUAGCCUUCGAAGAGCAAGGUGGCUUAACACUUUUCGCAGAUAAACAAAAUUUCUCCAUAUUCUUAUCAACUUGCAUCUGUUCCACUUUAAUGUCUUCGGGAUAUUCCUCACUAUUUUCUCCAUGUUCUGCAUCGAGUUCUUCAUCCACUUUCACUUCACGGCUAUAUGCCUCUUUGAAUCUUCAGGCAAAUAAUUUGAGUAAAACUCUUCCCAAAUCCUCUUUAUCAAUCUCGUGGUUGUUGCUUGCAUUACCUUUUUUUUUAUACUCUCAUAUUUGAAUUUAUUUCCUUCUUCAGCACCACAUUUUUUUUCACUAAAGACCUGGUGUGGCGUCUUUCCUCCAUUUUUUCAAAAAGACCAGACACAAAUGCACACUUGCUGAUCCUUUUACUAGGAAGCUCUGCAAAUUGUUGGAGUAUGAUAUGUCCAUGAACCACCACAUACCUUUCAACUUCUGUGGGAUUGGAAGAAAUAUAAGCAGGAUUAGUCUUACUGAACUUGGACACUUUUUUUAUUACAUCUACAAAACGAGAGUCGAGAUGCUCAACUCUGAUUGUCCAACAUUGUAAUGAGGGCAAUAGCAAGCCUCGCAGUUUUUAGAACUGGUUUGUACCACGUUGCAUACUGCUUUAAUGGCCUUCCAAGCCUAUACCUAAAAACAAAAUCGCAAAUUUGAUAAGAACUAACACUGACAGAAGAUAAAGAGGACAAAAAGGCAAGCUUAAGCACUAGUACCACCACCAAACCUCUUGGUAGUAUAUGGAUAUUGAUGUAUACCAGGAAAUAUCUGUCCGAACUGAUAUGGAAAUGAACGAGUAUCCAAAUUCGAUCAUCCAUUCCUGUAUUGCACUCAAAUAUACUGGUAGUCCCCCAACAUUCUCUGCCACAGAUGAAGACUGAUCAAAAUUAGCAUCAACACAUAAUCCACUUGAAUCACCAGUUGUCAUAAUCCCAGAUCCAAAGAUGGUAAUAUCAUUAUCAUCACAUGGUUUCAUUGGGAGGAGCUCUAAAGAAAUCAACCGCGAAUCUAAGUUGUGAAGUGACCAAUUGUAAAGCAUUCUUCGAGGAAGCUCGUCAGGAUUAAUUGCAUCAAAGAUUAAAUACUCAUCAUUUUCCUCCUCAUUGGGCUUGUAAUAUGCAGGCAGAGGAUAGUCAUCAACAAUUUCAUCCUCAUUGAUUUUACAGCAGAACUUGCUUGAUGAAGCAACUCUCCUCUGAGUUUUAUUAUGUUUCGUUGAUUGCCAAUUCUCCUCUUCCUACAACAGCCUUGCCAAUUUCAUAUCUUUAUCUUCUUCACCUCCAGAAGCAGAUGAACUAGACUGAUUAUUUUGCACUUCUUCACCAAUUCUCAUACCUGUAUUUAUGAGACUGCUGGAUGCACUGGUUUCCAGAGUAAUUAAACUCCCUUGCUUCUUAGUUUCAUCCAGCAAUGCAAGGAGCACAGGCAAGUUCUCAAAGAUCUGAUCAUUUUUCUUGGAUGUCUCAUCUAAACCGAUGAGUUGAUUAUAUAUGAAUUCACCCUGUGAGAUUAUAAAUUCCUUCAUAGGUGUCCUGUGAGGAAAAUUCUUGCUAUCACUCAUGGAACGAACAACUCCUGCAAGCAAUUCAUCGACAGUCUGAUCAGGGUUCCCUCCACAAGUCCUUGAAAGUUUUAUAGACCUCCACAGAGGCACAAGCCUUUUCAUAGAAAAGGUUAUAUAGCAUUUUAUAACUAUUAGCAGGUUUAACACAAUUAUAGUCUACAGUGACAGUUGAAAUCCAAAAUACCGGUGAGCCUUCCUCAUAUCCAGAUAUUGCCCAAGAUUCAACUCGUCCGAAAUCUUCACAUCUAACACCUCUUUUAUAACAUCCCAAAACUAACACGUGUGGAGCACGUGAAGAAGGAGGUUACUUACAAAUCAUAAUCCUUAUUCAUAAAUUCCAAAUUGAAAUACCUCAAAUUCUUAUUCAAUUAUAUCCACAAAUUCAAACGUCCAACACUAAAUAAGCUCUCACAAAACAUAACAAUAACAAAAGUCUCAAACUCUAAAUUACAAGUUCAUAACGAAAAUAAACUAAAUAGAAACAUGAGUCUAUUCCUUUUCUUAUUCAAAUGGCAAACGGAAAUGAAAAUUACUAACUCCAAAGCUAAGCGCACCUCUCAAAAGAAACUUAAUAUGCAAAAAGUAAUGACGAGGGGUGAGCCGUCAACUCGGUAAGUAAAACCAUUCCUAACACACUAUGCCUAUCGAUACUAAAAAUAUUGCAAGCCUUCUUUUGUUUAAAACAUAUAUCAUAAUCCAUAAAUUUCAUAAAACGAUAUAUCACGAUAACAUAACAUAAAUUCUUAAUAAUUUAGAAAAUUCAAAAGCAUAUUUACUUACGAAGCAAAUCAUAUAAUAUUAGGGAUGUCAAUGGGGCGGGUUCGGGUGGGGAUCAUGAUCCCCGAACCCGAACCCGAACCCGAUUUAGAAGCAAUCCCCCGAACCCGCCCCAUACCCGAAAAAUUCUAAUGGGGAAUUGUUUGGGUAUAUCCCCGAAAAUCCCCGAAUUGAGCGGGGAUUAAAACGGGGACCCGAUCCCCAUUUUUUAAAUAAAUAUUUCAGUUUUCUUUUUUUUAAAUAAUAAUAAUUCUAACAACCUCCAUAUUUAGAAAUAAAAUUACAAAUAAUCAAAUUUCAUAUUAGAAAUAAAAUUACAAGUGAUCAAAUUUUAACAACCUCCACAUAAAUAAAAACAUAAUAAUUUUAAGCCUUCAACAUAAUUACAAAUGAUUAAAUUUUAUACGACAAAUCAAAAUAAUUUUAAGUUUUCAACAUAAACUUGUAGCCAUCACCAUUGAUGCACAUUCUAAGAUUCUUCAUAAACCUAUCACAACAUAAACAAAAAAAAUUAAUAAAAACAUGUUUUAACAAUUCAACUUAAUAAAUACUUGACAAGAUAAUAUAAACUAAAACUAUAUACCUCUAUAGCCUCUACAUCUGUUUCAAUCUCUAGCUCCUCAUCAAGAAUCUUGGCAUAUGCUGGAGAGGUCGAUGCCACAACUACUUAAAAAAUAUAAAUAUAAAUAUCAAGUUAAUUAUUAGUUAAUUUAAAUAAAUAAAAAUACAAAAAUUAAAAUGCAAACUAUAUACCUCCACAAAGAGCACGUAUCCAACUUUGACUACACAUCAAAGCCUCUAAUGUGCUUGGAUGAAGUCUAUUGCGAUAUGGGCUUACAAAUCGACCGCCAGUGCUGAAAGCAGAUUCAGAAGCAACAGUGGUAACUGGAAUAGCCAAAAUAUCUCUUGCAAUUUGAGACAAUAUAGGAUAGUUACCACCAUUCACCUUCCACCAAGCUAAAACAUCAAAUUCUUCCUCAACAUUAAAUGGUACUAACUUUUCACCCAAAUAAGUGUCUAGUUCAUCCUUUACUUCCUCAUUACCAACAUUAACAAAACUAGUAAACCCCAAAAUCCAUUCAGUUGAACCCUUAUAGGAACCCGAACUCGGCAUAGAAUGCGAAGUACUUAAAGAACUAGAACUAUAUCCAGGAGAACUAGCAGCUGAUGCAUAUCUAGCUUUGUACUCUUUCACUAUACUUUGACAAUCACCAUACACUAUCUGGACACGAGAAGUAGCAUCAUCCCCAUAAAUCAUGGAAAAGUAAUAUUCAACCAACCUAAUUUUGAACCUAGGAUCAAAGAUACAUGCAAUAGACAGUAUUCCACUCAUGUCAUGCCAAUACUUAUCAAACUUUUCAAUCAUUUUCUGUGCCAUGAUUCUAAAUUCAUCAUACCUAGGAGUUGAAACCCAUUCAUUCAGGCAAAAUCUAAUAUCACACACAUGGCGCAGAAAUAGAUUAGAUGUUGGAUAACUAGUACCAGAAAAUAAUGUUGUACAAUCAUAAAAACAUUUCAAAUUAUUUUCUAAGGCACUAGCCAAUUACCAAUCAUGCUCACUAGGCAAACACUUAUAUUGUCCAUCAAUAUUCUUCAAUCGACAAAAAACGUUCUUAUAAUGUAAUGCAGAGCAUAUCAUGAGAUAAGUAGAAUUCCACCUAGUUGGAAAAUCUUGUACUAGUUUUCUACCAGAAGUAAUGCCUAAUUUACCUGCAUUCUCAUCAAAUGUCGAUUUCCUUUUAGUUGAUCCUGACCAAAAAAUAACACUCUCACGAAUGUUUUCAAUUAGAUCACCAAUCACACUUAAACCAUCCUUUACAAUCAAAUUUAGAAUGUGGGCACAACAACGAACAUGAAGCUUUUGUCCACCCAAAAUGAGAUCAUUUUUAUCUAGUGCCAACAACAUAAAAUCAAUCAUACGAUCAUUAGUAGCAGCAUUGUCAACAGUUAUGGAGGAUAACUUACGCUCAAUGUUGAACUCCAAUAACGAACCCAUCAGCUUAUCACAAAGCACUUGGCCUGUGUGAGAACCAGGCACUUCCAAAAAACUAAAAAAAAAAAAGAUCAUUAACAAUUAAAAAAAAAUCAGAUUGAUCACUAAUAAUUAAAAAAAAUCAGAUUGAUCAUUAACAAUUAAAAAAAAAUCAGAUUGGUCACUAAUAAUUAAAAAAAUCAUAACAGUAAGAAUUUUACCUCAAAAGUAUGCUCCGUAAUGCCCAAGCAUCGUCAAUAAAGUGUGCAGUGAUUGCCAUAUAUGCUUUUGUUUGAUUUUCUGCAGUCCACAUAUCAGUUGUAAUGGCAAUUCUACCUUGAGUUUGCUCCAAUACACUAAGAUAUUUGGCCCUUUCACACUCAUACAUGUCUAAAAUCUCCUUCUUGAUAGUAUUUCGAGACACCUGCUUCCACAAUUGAUUCAAAGAAGACAUAACAUCCCUCAGACCCUGAUGCUCUACAAUGCUCAGAGGGUACUCAUGCAUGACAAUAGCACGUGCCAUUUUUCUCCUCGUAACAUCAGGAUCAAAAUGAGUUUCUACUGCAGUCUUCCCUUUUUCACCAGCAGCUUUCUUUGCCAGUGGGAAUUCUGUGGCCUCUAUUUCCUUUUUCACUUGACAUGUCUUCAAAUGAUCGUGCAAGUGCUUUGUUCCAUCACUACUCCUUGCUACCAAUGCAUUUUUACAAUAAUUGCAGACAGCCUUAUCAAUCCUGUUAAUUUUUUUCUUCUCGAAAUGCUCCCACACAAUUGACCUCAACCUUCCUUUUCGUCGCAACCCACCAUGAGUAACACUAGCGGCUGAUUCACCUUGAGUAUGAUUGCCUUCAUCAUCCAUUAAGUGUGGUGUGGGCACAGAACUUGACAUAUUAAAUGUUGAACCUACAAUCAAGCCAAUAAGCAAAAUUUUAAAAUGAAAAUAAAACUAGCAUUUUACUAGAAGCAAACAAUUAAGAACUAUGCAGAUACAAAACAUUAAAUCUGAUUUUACCAUGUACUGGAUUUAAAACCAACUAGUACUAAGAUAUUUAAAGAUAAAAUACAAAUACUCGCUUAUUCUUUGGCUGCAACGAACAUUUACUAAUUAAGCAUCUAUAAUUUCUAGUUAUAUUUAAUGGUUAAUGAUGCUUAAUUGACUUACAGAAUGCCAAAGGUAAUAUAAAAACUAAAUUCUGGAAGUUAUUAAAUUUCUCCUAAAAAAUAUGACCUGAACUAAAAGCAAGAGCAAAAUCUGUACCCCCAGAUGUGAAAACCAAUAAUAUUUCAGAAAGCAGGAGGGCUUUGGUUCUGAACAAACCCAAAUCAGCAGAAGGGGCAGUGGGAUCCCAUAAAGAAUGUCAAAGGAAAUAUUAUUACCCAAGUUUGUCAAUACCUCAAUUUAUUAUUCUGCUCAACAAAAGUAAAUUAAUUAAUUAAAAUAAUAAAUAAAAAAUGUCCUCUUGGAUGUUUCAGCAAACUAAAAUAGAACUAGUUAAAUUCCUUCAGCUUCGAAACUAGCUAGCUAAAGGAAAAUGUUAAGAAUAAUGCAAAAACAAGAAUAAAAGAAAAGAAAAGCAAGCGGCCAAAAGAAAAGAAAAGCAAGCGGCCAAUAUGCAAGCAAGCAAUUAAACCCUGGAAAUUUAACACAGAGCUAAAAGAAAAUCAUGACUACCCAAGCUAUAAACCAAUUAAACCCUUAAAGUUUCAGUUGAUAGCAUAGGCAAACUAAUAAAGCUAAUAUUACUGACAAACAAAUUGCAGCCAGUAUCCAAAGGAAGUGCUAAAAAUGACAAUCAAAUGCAACUCAAUGACUCAUUACUGACAAACAAGCACGCAUAGAGACACCCAAAUCAAUGAAACCAGAUGCAAUUCGAAAUAAAUAAACAAAGAAAGAAAAGUAGAAAAGGCAAAAACCUUGUUGCAAGAGAACCAACAGGUGCAGCUGAGUGUUGGUCGGUGACGACGAACGGUGGCGGCUGACCAGCUGUUAGCGAUGACGGUAGCUCACGAACUGUUAGGGUUUCUUUUGGGGGAAAAAAUUUGAUUCGAUGGCAUUACAAUUUCUAAUUUCAAAGUUUAAAAUAUUAGAUUUUUUUUUGUUUUUAUUUUCGGGUUGAGUUAGGGGAUCCAGAAAAUCUCUAAACCCAAACCCAAAACGUUUUGGGGUUUUAGACCCAUACCCAAAUAGACCCGAAUUUACUUUUAGACUUUUUUGGGGCCCCAUACCCGCCCCAAAUUAAUCGGGGCCCCGCGGGUUUGGAGCCCCGUGGGUAUUGUUGCCAACUCUAUAUAAUACAUAUACAGAAAACAAAAGAUUAUCUCAUGUCACAUAGUGUCACCUAUAGUCCCGGUGACCCGACCAGAAACAGAAUCAGAAUAUCGUGUGCACACUCAGAACAGAAACCUAGUACUAGUCUAGACAGAUAUAUCGUAUAUUACGAUCAGAAUCAGAAUAAAAAUAACUAUGGACAAUUAGUCAAAACAUUAGGAAUCCCAUACAAUCAUCAAUAAUUGAAAUCAAACAUGGCUACAAAACAUUCGUAUCAUAUUCAUAAAAGUCCAUAUCAAUAAUUUAGGCUUGCAUAAUAUUUUAAAGAUAAAAUCAUAAAAGGUUUUCAUGUCAUAAAAUCAUUUACAUAUUAAAAAGAAUAUAGGUUUGAAAACAUUUACAUAAAACUAAUUUUGUUAUCAAAAUCAAUUAAUCCUUUAAGUAGUAUAAAAAUAUUUAUACUUAUAAUAAUAAUAUCAAAAUACUUAUACAUAUCUAGUAUACUAGGAAUGAAGUUACUUACGAAAGCAAAUCAUAUAUCACAUUCACAGAAAAACAAAAGGUUAGUUCAUGUCACAUAGUGUCACCUAUAGUCCCGGUGACCCGGCCAGAAACAGAAUCAGAAUCAGAAUAUCAUGUGCACACUCGGAACAGAAAUCUAAUACUGGUCUAGAACAUACAUAUAUCGUAUUAUACGAUCAGAAUCAGAAUCAGAAUAACUACAGACAAUGAGCCAAAACAUAAUGACUUAUACGUGGCACUUUGCACUAUUUGUGGCACUUUGCGACGCUUUGGCCUUCAAGAAGUGGUCCCCAUAUAGUCCCAAGAGGUGACCCCCGUACAAUCACAAAGAAUUGAAAACAUUCAUAAGCACAAAAACAUUCGCAUCAGUUUCAUAAAUGUCCAUAACAACAAUUUAGGCUUGCAAAAUAUUUUAUAAAUAAAAUCAUAAAAGUAGGCAUGUAACAAAAUAACUUACAUAUUUAAAAAGCAUUUAUAAAACACUUUGUUCAAAAGAAUUUAGGUUUGAAAACAUUUUCAUAAAACUAAUUUUGUUAUGAAAAUCCAUUAAUUUUCUAAGUAGUAUAAAAACAUUUAUACUUAUAAUAAUAAUAUAUUUAUACAUAUUCAGUAUACUAGGAAUGAAGUUACUUACCUCGACUAAAAAAUUUGAAUUAACACGCCUCUAAACCUCUAAGUGCCGCAAUCACCUCCAACACCAAUUGCUUUGAUUCUCUUCUAAAUAAAGGCUUGAAUCCUAGGGUUUGGGUAAGAGCGUAAUGAGCAGCAGGGAAGAAAAGAAACGUCGUGGAUUUAGGGUUAUGGAAGGGGGAAAAUAUGAAUUUAUAGGGAGUCUUAAGUAACCCUAUUGAAUUUGAAAAAAUAAUCCUUUUCCAAAAUUAUCUCAUAAUUAACCCUUAUUUAUAAUUUAAUAUCCCUUUUUAAUAAGGGUUAUAGGCCACGCAUGAUUCCUAAUGAAAGCCCAAUUUCCAUAAUUUAAUGUUAUGGAAAUUUGUGGCGUUACAUCUUUCUUUAUGUCUUCCACAACAUUUUUCAAGAGACAAAAUAAGACCUGAAACGAACAAGUUUCCAACUUCCAACAUUUCAACAGACUUUAGGUUUCCACAAGAAUCAUGAAAAGCAAAUUCUGUUAGCCUUCGAUUUGGUCUACAGUCAUCCUUUCCAGCGGUCAAGCUUAUUGCAACCUCUUCAUUUUCUGCAACAACUUCCCUUGUGCUUUCCACAAAAGAUGCACUUCGAGAGAAGGAAAGAGAUUUUUCCAUGAUAUCCAUACAUGCAGCAGCUCUCUUUGGCAUUUUCCAAGAAUUGGAUGCUUUUUCACUAUUUUUAUGUCUACUUCUCUUAUUGUUUUCCGGUCGUCUCAGACUUCUCGUCUAUAGUAUUAACUUCAAUGACAGAAGGUUGCUUUCCCUUGGCUAUUUUUUCCAUAUCUAGAAAUAAGUAUAAAAUUAAAAACAGGAAUAAAAGCAGAUACUAUUAAACUCCAUGGUUACUUUGGUAUAUGAGGAAAUAAAAUGACCAAAAAGGUACUCUAAUAGAAUAAAUAAGGAAACGAUCGAGUUUGGGAGCGAAAAUUAAUCAUCUAUUUUCUUUUGAUGUGGAUAAAUAAAUGGAAAAGGUAAGCUCACUCAAGUCAAUAAAGACUAAAGCAUGGGGUAACAACAUUCAGAAUCUACAGUAAGGUAUUGACAUUCAGAAUCUAUUGUCACAAAUAAAAAGACAUUUAAACAAUCAGAAAAGUGAGCAACUUAAGGACGACACUUGUUACAUAUGCCAAAUGUGGUAGUCUGGGCAUUCAAAAGUAAUGAAGCAAUCUUUAAAUUAAUGCAUGUCCAGAACACUAUGGAGCAAGCUGCUGAGGAUUCAUCGUGCUUUAUUACAGAAUGUCCUUAAUGGUGUUAUUACUUUCUUCACAUGAACUUUUGAUAACUAUUUUGCCCGAAUUAACACAACUAAAUGUAAAUGACCUACCAAAACUAUUUUACAAGUUGAAGCAAAUUCCAAAAUUAGAUAUAUACAUGGCUAUAUUCUUCGUAUACCACUGACCAAAAAUAUUAGAAAACCAUAGAUGCUAUCAGUAAUUAGAACCCAAAAAAAAAAAAAGAUUCUAGAAAACGGAACAGCUAACUAAUAAGUAUUACAGACCUGUAUUUAUGAAAUUGCUUGAUACAGUUGUUUCCGGAGCCAGUAAACUCCCUUGCUUCUUAGUUUCAUCCAGCAGUGCACGGAGCACAGGCAAGUUCUCAAAUAUCUAAUCAUUUUUCUUGGAUGUUUCAUCUAAACCAAUGAGCUGAUUAUAUAUGAACUCACCCUGUGAGAUUAUAAAUUCCCUCAUAGAUGUCCUGUGAGGAAAAUUCUUGCCAUCACUCAUGGAACGAACAACUCCUGCAAGAAGUUCAUUCAAAGUCAGAUCAGGGUUCCCUCCACAGGUUCUUGACAAUUUCCUAUAGACCUCGACAGAGGCAUGAGCUUUUUCAAUGAAAAGGUAAUAUAGCAUUUUAUAAUUAUUCGCAGGUUUAAUACAAUCAUAAUCUGCUGUGAGUGUUGAGAUCCAAAAUACUGGUAAGCCUUCCUCAUAUCCAGAUAUUGCCCAAGAUUCAAAUCGACCAAAAUCUUUACAUCUAACGCCUUUUUCCUUCUGCCUUCCACCACAUUUUUCAAGAGGCAAUAUAAGACCUGAAACAAACAAGUAACCAACUUCCAACAUUUCAACAGACUUUAGGUUUCCACAAGCAUCAUGAAAGGCAAAGUCUGUUAGCCUUCGAUUCGGUCGAAUGUCAUCCUUCCCAGCAGUCAAGUAUAUAGCAGCCUUCUCAUCUUUCACAACAUCCUCCCAUCUGUUUUCAACAAGAGAUGCCUUUCUGGACAAGCGAAGAGAUUUCUCUUUAAAAUCUGAACAUGCAGCAGCUCUCUUUGGCACCAACUCAGCUUGUUAUUCUCAUGGGGCUGUUUAUAUCUUUGGGGUAUGCAUGAUUUCCAAAACUAUCAACUAUGAAUUAUAUGUUUCAUAAUUUAGUUGUUGCUUUCUCGAUGUUGUAUGCUUAUUUAUUUAUUUAUUGUUCAUUUAUUAGUCUAUGGUUAUUUUUGGUUAGUUCUAGUAUUUUGAUAAAUUCGCCUGGUCGGUUUAUUUCACUAACCAUUAAUGAGAAAAUCCGCCAAGUGAUCCUCAAACUCUUCUACACAAUUAUAAUAAUUUCAGUUUUAUAUAUACAAAAAUGAACAGCUCUCAAACAUUGUUUGAUAAUGACAAAUUUGAUGCUUGUACUUUAAUGUUAUUAUCAUUAAAGUAAUGAGGAACGACAUAUAUUCUCUCUAAACAGUAAAUUCGGAAAUUCAGAACAGAUUCGGUAACAUGUGGCAUUCUACAUUCUUGCAAUGCCAUUUCUUGUUAUGGCAGCAGCAUUUUUUAUCAUCGUUUCUAGAGAGAAUGAAGAGAGAGAGAAAGUAUCAUCUUAUUCCUUGUUAGUUUCUCCGUGUGAGCUCUGUAAAAUUACUUUGAUUCAUAAAUAAAACUCAUUUUGGUCGAUUCUCCCUUGGAUGUAAGUUGUGCCUCAUUGCACAGCUGAACCACGUAAACAGUGCUGGUUUCUGUGUGUGAUUGUUUGUUAAUCUUGCUUGUUUCUUUUUUCCUAAUGGCUGAAAUCUUGCUUUAAGUUCUCAAGUCAUCUAUUGAGUUCAUCGAGGUCAUUCAAUUAUUCAUAUGUAGCUAGUUUGAUCUUGAACAGGGUCUUGGGCAGUGUUUUGAUGGCUUGAUUAGCGGCUAUCUUGACAGUACAAUUGGUAUCAGAACUAGUUCUCCAGAUCGAGAUCCAAGUAUGGCUACAUCAAAGAUUGAUCUCAAGAAGUUCAAUGGAAAGAAUGACUUUAAUAUACAAAACUUGUAUCUAAUGGUUUACAUUUGGAGAUGAUGUAAUAAAGUGCUGUUGAUAAAUUCACCUGGUCGGUUUACUACUUCACUAACCAUUAAUGAGCAAAUCCUCCCAGUGACCCUCAAACUCUUCUACGCAAUUAUAAUAAUUUCAGUUUUAUAUAUACAAAAAUAAACAGCUCUCAAAUAUAUUAUUUGAUAAUGACAAAAACAACAAUUCACUCCAAUAAAUCUCGUAAUAAAUACAUGGUCUAUAUUGCAAGUCUUUUUAGGACUCAUUCAAAAAGAAAACUUAGGGAAUGGCAUUGCAAGAAUAUGGAAUCAGAAUAACAUUGAUACAAAGAGAAAAAAAGGGGAUGGUCGGAUUGAUUUGUUUGCAAAAUUAUUGGUGCAGGGGUCUACUUGUUUUUGUUUCACUUUAUUAAUUAAUUAGCAAAGCAAACAUGUAAUCAUUUGAAAAAGGAUCACUGGUACCCGCUUACGAAAGAUGAAUUUGUAAGACAUUAAUUUAGAUGAAAAUGUGGCGUUAUUAAGUUAUGAGUUCAUUAACUUGAGGUAUUAAUAUUUACUAAUGAUGGUGAUUAAUUUAUUUAACUUGUCAUGGUCUUCAAUUAAGAAUGAAGUGCAAUCAAUUUAUGGAAAAAAUAAUUAUUUUUUUACUUUUUAAGAUUUUAAUUCUUAGGAUUUCAUUUCGCUCUUUUUCGAUUAUUGACGUUGUUGAAGAGGGCAAUAAAAGCCUGCUGAAUUUCAUCAAAGGCUUGCAUCUCAUCUCACAAAUUGGCAAUAUUGAUUGGCAUCUUUAUAAGCGCAGGCAUGAUGAAUUUAUCACUUCCUUCAUAUUGAUGGCCAUAAAUUUCAACUGUACUUUAUUUUUGAGGCACAAUCUAACUUAACAAAAAUAGUAUUCAAAUUGUCACAAUUUUUUUUAAAAAAAUGAAAAUUCAUAUACAGUAGUUAUUUUUUCUUUUUCUUUACUCCAACUUUUAUUAAAAAGUUAAAUACAAAUCCCGAAGAAUCCGCUAUAUAAUCUGAUAGAAUCUAGAAAACGGAGGUACAUGCAUGGCAAUAUCAUUACUUUGUACGACUGGAUUAUUUUUACAAAUUUUUUUCCAAAGAAACUAAUAAAAUUUAUUAUUUAAUAAAAAGUCAAAUACAAAUCCCGAAGAAUCCGCUGUAUAAUCUGACAGAAUUUGGAAAACGAAUGCACAUGCAUGGCAAUAUCAUUACUUUGUACGACUGGAUUAUUUUUACAAAAUUUUAUCCAAUCCCUUGUUUGAUGCCUGUAAAUCAAUAUUUAAAUGUACAGUUAUUUUGUUAUGUUAUUUGAUUUUAACUAUUAAUGUGAAUAUUGGAAUAUAUAUUUAUAUUGAACUAAUAAAAUAAUUGUAUAAAAACAUUUGAAUAAACUUAAUUAUGAAUUAUGAAUUCAUGAUGUAAGGUAGCGUUUGUUUUUUAAUCUAAAAUCUUAGUGAGUCUGAAUUUAGCUAAAAUCUGAAUAUAUUUGAAUUGCAUAUGUCUAAAUGGCAUGUUUGUUUUCUCUUUUUUGAUGUCUGAAUGUAAGUGACAUCUUUUUUUUAUAAAUAAAAAAAGUCUGAAAUAUGAUUAUUUAACAUUUAUGUUCUUGUAAGAAUUAUUUAUACUUAUUAUAAAUUUUAAGAUUUAAAUAUGUGCACGUUACAAUUAAAAUCAAAGAUAUGUAGAAUUGAGUAAUUGAUCUUUAAAUAAAAAUAUUAUUAUAUUACUCCAAAUACAAAAUUGAAUCAAACUUAUUAUACUUUAAAAUUAAAAUUUAAUUUUAUAAUUUACAUCAUCUUUUUUACCAUUUAAGAUUGUAAAAGCCCAUUCGCCCAAACCUAGUCUUAAUUAGCUGUACAUAAGUGUAAAGGCCCAUAUGUUCUUAAGAAGUGUUGAGAGUUUUCUUAGACCCAUAAGUGAAUGGAUAUGUGUAAUGCCCUCAACUUCAAGCCAGAGUUAUAACUAAUGGCAGAUCUGUGUAAUCCUUUUAAAACCGUUCUCUAAUUAUAUUAAAAGACAAAAUAAAUCUAAUUAAAUUCUUAUAUUUCUCUCUCUAUAAGUUUCUUUUUUUAAUGAGAAAAAGACAUCUACACCCCUAAGGUUUGGAAAAAUGAUCAUCAACACCCCUAUGUUUUCAAAGGUGGACACCAAGACUCCCUUUGAUGAUUAUACUCUUUAUCUCUAUUAUUUCAAAAGAAUUAACUCUAAUAUUUUACAAUAAAUAGAAAUAUGAUAUUAAAAUAAAUGUAAUAAUACGUACAUUUUAAAAUAAUUUCAAUUUUUAAACAAUAUUUUAAUAUUUUAUAAUUUAUUAGAUAUAUUUUACUAUAUUAAAGUAAAUUUUAUGAUAAAUAGAAUCAUAAUAUUAAAAUAAAUGUAUUAAAAAUUUAAAUUAUAUUGAAUAUUAUGUAAAAUAAUAAUUUUAACAAUAUUAGUAUGUGAGAAUGUUUUUAAUUGUAGAACGUAUUUAAUGCAAAUAUUUAUUUAAAAUCUCUACAAUAAAAAAGAUAUUAUUAAAAUAAAUAUGAUAAAUUACAUAUUGAAAUAUUAAAUAUUUUAAUAUUUCUAGUCUACUACAUAGAUUAUACUAUUUAUAUGGUAUUUGUAUUUGCUAAAAAUUUUAAAGUCAAAUUUUUAGAAUAAUAGAGAUAAGGGAUAUAAUGGCCAAAAGAAGGUCAUGGUGUCCCUCCUUGAAAACUUAAGGGUGUUGGUGACCAUUUCCCCAAAUCUUGGGGGUUUAGAUGUUCUUUUUCCUUUUCGAAAUCAUUAGCCCCACACAACUACACCAAACAACCAAAAUUUUGUGGGAUCUGUAGUUCAGGCAGAAGCGGCCGGCCGAAUGCUUCCAGCAACUCAGGCAGAUAGAACCUUGGUUGAUUUGUUUUUCUUCAUUUGAAAUUCUACCUAACGGCUAUCCUUUUAAUUGGUUUAAAUUCUUCUUUUUUCUUUGAGUUGUUGAUUUAUAGUGCCUUACAUGCAAAAUUCAAAAUUUCGGAUGAUGAUAAUCUUGUUUUAGAAGAGAUUUCUAGUUAUGCUAGCAGCAUUCUUGAUCGUGGCAUCACAAGCACAUGCUCUGNNNNNNNNNNNNNNNNNNNNNNNNNNNNNNNNNNNNNNNNNNNNNNNNNNNNNNNNNNNNNNNNNNNNNNNNNNNNNNNNNNNNNNNNNNNNNNNNNNNNGUUCAACAUGUAAUCAUUUAAAAAAGGAUCACUGGCCCUAGCUUACAAAAGAUGAAUUUGUAAGACAUAUUAGUUUUGAUGAAAAUGUAGUGUUAUUAAGUUAUGAAUUCAUUAACUUAGAGGUAUUAAUAUUUACUAAUGAUGGUGAUUAAUUUAUUUAACUUGGUGAUUAAUUAUUUAACUUGUCAUAGUCUUCAAUUAACAAUGAAGUGAAAUCAAUUUAUGGAAAAAAAUAAUAAGUUUUUUACUUUUUAAGAUUUUAAUUCUUAGGAUUUCAUUUUGCUCUUUUUCGAUUAUUGACGUUGUCGAAGAGGGUAAUAAAAGCUUGUGGAAUUUCAUUAAAGGCUUGUAUCUCAUCUCACAAAUUGGCAAUAUCGAUUGGCUUCUUUAUAGGUGAAGCCAUCACGAAUUUAUCACUUCUUUCAUAUUGAUACCCAUAAAUUUCAACCUUAUUUUAUCUUUGAUGCACAAUCUAACUUAACAAAAAUAGUAUUCAAAUUGUCACAAAAUGUUUUUUUUUUUAAAAAAAUCAUAUACAAUAGUUAAUUUUUCUUCUUCAAGUUUUGUAUGAAACACUAAUCUUGCUCUGUACUUUGGAGUAUUUUAAUAAUUGAUGUUAAGAUUUGCUAAUGUAAAGAAAGAAAAAGAGAACCAAUUUGGAAAAGUGAAUACUUAUAGUGAAAGAGAACCAAUUUGGAAAAGUGAAUACUUAGUAGUGGGAGUUCUAUCCUUUGGGGUUUAAUUAAUGUUUGAUGUUGUUUCUGUUGGCCUCAGCUAGUUGUUAAGAUUUCAUACCUUUUGUUGGUUUUUCAUAACUGUGACCUAAAGCUUAAUGUAUACUUUGAUAAUUACAUAAUCGGUUUCUUGCUGAUACUUGGCUUUAAUUUAUAAACCUGAGGCUCUUUUGGGAGUUGGGAAGAUUUACGAAAGAGGAGUUUCUGAUUAUCUGGUUUGUUCUCUUUAUGCCUACAGAAGUUGAAUUCACUCUAUGCAUGAAUUUAUGAUUCUUUUAGAAAGAUUUUAUUCUUGAGAAAGAUUUGAUGAAAUUGAAGCAUUAUAGUAAAGCGUACCACUGGUAAGCUUGAUUCACUUUUUUUCAUUUACUACCAAGAGGUGCCAACAGUUCAUGAUGCACAAAAAGAGGUGGGGAAAAAAAGAAAUCUUCUUGCUAGAUACAUAAAUUUAAUAUUUGAAUCAUUUUCAACCAAAGAAAUGUGCUGAAGAGCACCAUUUUCGUUUAUAUCAAAGUUCAAUUGCAUCUUAUAUCAUCUGUUUCCAUCUCCUUUGUGGUAAAUAAAGUCCUUGGUGAUGACAAUAAGAAUCACAGAAGAAGUUAAUUUCUUAUCUGGAGAUUUUCAUCAUAGUAGUUCAUUGAAAGUGAAGGCAGCUGAGUACUCCUUUUUCUGAUGCAGUCUAUCCCUCUUUGGUGUGAUUAUUUGAAAUUUGCGCAAGAAUAUGAUCCAUCUAUACGAGAAUGUGCCUAAUAAAAUAUCACAAAGGUGCCUAAUACAGUGAAAUUAACAUAUUCAGCUCAUGAGAUUGCCAUUAUAUAUAUUGAAAAAGAAAUUAAUAUAAGAAACUGAAAUUAAUUGACACUGGUUCAUGAUGGAUUGUUAGUUGUUAAUUAUGAUGGGAAUAUAAUCUUGGUCUUUUAAUUAUCAUCUAGCUAAUGCAUGUGCACUUUCAUUUGUGUCUAUCACUGAAGAAUAAAGUUGCUUGAUUGAACAUCAUAUGACAGAAACUCAAAACUCAAUUUCAUUGCCCGAGCAUACCAUGCCAUAUGUGGCUCAAAAGUACAAUUAACAUUGAACGUUCAGCUAGCUAGCUCGUACUAAUUAAUUUAUAGGAUUGCUAGUUCUUUAUGAUUCGCUAAAAGAGAAAAUAUUUGACAAUCACGAAAACAAUAACAAUUCACUCCCAUAAACAACAUAAUAGAUACAUGGUCUAUAUUGCAAGUCUUUUUAUGAUUUUAAUUAAAAGAGAAAAUGCAACGGACAUAUUAUAUAUAAUUGAAUGUUCUCCUUGAUAAUUAGUCAAAAUAACGCCAAUAUGAAUAACUAAUACAAUCAUCAUAAUUAUCCGAUUUUCAUUUUAAUUAUGUCCAACCAUGCUAAUUUAAUAAAGAACACUGACUGAAUACAUGAGCAUUUAUAUGUUCAACAAAUUUGGCUGAGUAUGAAAAAUAUAAGAGCUACAUUUAUGCUUUGUGUUAUUAAGUAGGACAUGACCAUAUUAUGUUGCAUUUGUCAGAAAACUGAAAAUUAUCGAAAAGGAUCCUAAAAGAGAUGUGUUGAGUUGUGAGCUUAAAAAUGAGUUUUAGAAGUUCCUGACAUGUCGGUGUGUAUCCUUGAUUGUGCAUGCCCUGUCGGUUUCUGGAUGAAACAGAAGAAUAUGACAUAUGUGUAUUGUCUUUUACUUCCAGCAAGCACGUGAUUUAAGUGAAUCACAUGUUCUUCACGUGAUUUGACAUACUUUAUACGGAUUUAGCAGUUGUUUUGGUCACUUAUUGAAGCACGAGUUAAGCACGUGAUUCAAGGUUGUUAACUGACCGUUAUAAGGUGGAAAAUUCUGGGUUUCUUACAACAAACCCAGAGGGCAUCUGGUGAGUGGAAGCUGUUUCUAGAUUCUUCAUGAUCUGUAUAUAUAACACAAAACUACAUGCAUGUCAAUUGCUUUAUGUUAAUAUUGUUACUAAUGAGGCAGCUAGUAAUCCCUUUGGUGUAAAUAAUUAACUUUCAUAUGCACAAUAUUUAAAAUAAUCACCAAACAACAAUUCACAAGUUACAUUACACAUAAACAAAAUAAAACUAAUCUAGCAAAUUCAAUCAUAAUAAUUUGAUUUUCAUUUAUAUUAAUUAUUUCCAAUCAUGCUAUUUUUUUUUUAAAAAGAACACUCCAGUGUUUAUAUAUCCAACAGGUAAAAUUUCAAAAUAAUAUUUGCUAAAGUCUGAUGAAGAGAAUAUACACGCACACACAUAUAUAUAACCGUACAGCAGAAUGAUAAAUAAAAGAAAAUGAAGUUUCAACAGCUGAAUAAUGCAUUUUAUUGUUUAAUUAAAAAAUUCGAAAACCCAUUGGCCAUAUAUACAUGAUAAAGACUCACUGAAGCCGAGCCAUAUUAAUUUAAAUUAAUUUUCAAUUGAGAUUUAAAUUUUGAAAUUACAUACACAAACACGCCCAAUUUAAAAAAAAAAGUAGUAAUUAUAAAAUAUUUCAGUCAUUUAUUACAACAUAAGGUAUAUGGGUUAACAAGUCCCAAUAUUGUCCUCCAUCCUUUCUGCACUUCUCUGUUAUCAACGGACAACUCCAGAUCUGUAAUUGCAAAAGUGAGGAAGGCAGGCCCUUCUCCGGAAAGUAUUUGAGCUUGGGACAUCCCCAGAGAACCAAUUCAAUGAGGUUUUGAAGAUCAACAAUUGAAGAAGAUAGGCGUUCCAGAUUUGGAAAAUCUUCAAUCCACAGAGAUGUUAGAGAGGCAGGAAGAGGAAGCGCGGUCCCUAAUCUUUUGUCCUCUAGUGGAAAUGACACCAUGUCUUCAUCGCAUCCACUGAUUAAAAGAUAUCGCAGAGAGGAGAAUCUGUGAAAUCCCCGUCCCCGCUCAAUCAUCGACUUCCAAAUCUCCAUAUUACCCCAAAUAUUAAGUGACUGAAGGUUGGUGGGAAGUGUUGGAAAAAUAGCAUAACAUGC